RNAcentral lists this long non-coding RNA (72710 nucleotides) under Durio zibethinus. RNAcentral describes it as "long non-coding RNA (DZIB_LNC000064)". The stretch from base 59488 to 59652 matches the Rfam family "mir-166 microRNA precursor family". Lineage: Eukaryota; Viridiplantae; Streptophyta; Magnoliopsida; Malvales; Malvaceae. The record is from RNAcentral.
GUGGUUGUAGACAACACCUUCGCUCCCAUGGUUCUUUCCCCUGCUCGGCUUGGUGCUGAUGUGGUUGUCCAUAGUAUCUCCAAGUUCAUCAGCGGUGGAGGCGAUGUUAUUGCAGGUUUGUUUGUCGUAUGUUUCUCAUUUACGGUACACGCGUCUGACAUAUCAUCUCAUUGUUUUACGUCGGAAAAAGAGCCAUCAGUGACGUUUUAUCCUUUGAUUAAUUAAGUUAAAUAGUGGUAUCUAGGAAAUUGUUUUCAGAGUUUUGAUGAAAACUGCAUGCCUUCUUUAAAAAAAAAAAAGAGGAGAGAACAGAAAAUACUAUGAAUUGAGGAUUCAUAAUCGUAAAAUAAAAUGAGAAAAAAUAUGGUCUUCCGCAUUCCAAAAGUUCGGAUUCAUGAAAGGCAAACGAAUAGAUAUCUGGUAUGAAAAUAAAAACUCUAUAAAUAAUGGAUCGAAAAAAUGUUUUAGGCUAGUGGGGGAACAUGUUCUCGUGAAUGAUGAUAUAAGGAAUAGUUAAACUUUUAUUGGCCUAGUGUUAAAAAGAAAGCUUAACAAGACAUGUAAGAUAGAAGUUCGAACUUAUCAUCCCAAUUCUCCGAUCCUUUGGAUAAAAAAACUUUAAAAAAUAGUUAAGUUUGGUUUUCUAACUAUCUUUUUUAUGGCUGAUAAGGAUACUCUCCGGCAAUUUCACUAAUUUUUCAAAUUUUCACUGAUAAUAUCAUCAUCAUGGAUUUGAGGUGUGCAUUCCGAUCCUCCUUUGCCUCUUAUGGAUAAGCUUUCAUGUGAUGGGUUCUGUCUUUUUUAUUUUUGCGAUAAAUUCUGUCUACAAACUUAAAAUUUCAGGGCCUUAAAAUUGACAUUUUCUAGUUGAAAAGUAAAAGUGUCUCUUUUACAAAUUCUUUUAAUAAUCGUUUGCCCUAAUGUUAUUAGUAGCUAACUUCUAGGCAAAACAAACUUGCCAAAACCAUUAGUUCUUGUGAAAUAUAAAAUCUUUUUUUUAGUACCGUUUCAGUUUCUUGUAUUGGAAUAUAGUAACUAUCAUUGUCAGAAUUGUAGGCAGUAUUUUGUUAAUCCAAUAAAAUGGCAACUUUCAGGUGCUGUUUGUGGUCCAGGAAGGCUGGUGAACUCCAUGAUGGACCUUCAUCAAGGUGCUUUGAUGCUCCUAGGCCCGACCAUGAACGCCAAGGUUGCCUUCGAACUCUCUGAAAGGAUCCCUCACUUGGGCCUACGAAUGAAGGAGCACAGUCGCAGAGCCAUGGAUUAUGCCGCUAGAAUGAAGAAAUUGGGAUUCAGGGUGAUCUACCCGGGCCUUGAGGAUCACCCUCAACACGAGCUGUUGAAGUCCAUGGCCAACAAGGAAUAUGGGUUUGGUGGUCUUCUUUGUGUUGACAUGGAAUCUGAAGAAAGAGCUAACGGGCUGAUGGACCACUUGCAAAACUACAGUCAAUUUGGGCUCAUAGCGGUUAGCUUAGGUUACUAUGAGACUCUGAUGUCAUGCUCUGGUAGUAGCACCAGUAGUGAAAUGAAUGAUGAAGAGAAGGCACUUGCCGGUAUUUUGCCAGGGCUGGUGAGGAUGUCCAUUGGAUAUAUUGGGACACUGGAGCAGAAGUGGAGCCAAUUAGAAAAGGCGCUAUCUAGGAUGCACGAUUCCACCUCAUUCAAUGAAAACUAAAGUUCUUUCAUCUCGUGUUCAAUAAUAAGUUUGCCGUAGUUUACGUAAAGAAGGUUUUAUUUUUGGUAUUUCAAUUGUUAAAGGCUGGACCUUUUGCGUAAUAUAAUGUUUUUUAGAAAAGGAAAAUAUAAACUUGAACUUCAACAAGUCUUCUCUAGAUGCAACAACUUAGAACAAAAGUGAAGAUAAAAUAUACCAUAAGUUGCGCUUUCUUUGCCGUUGAUUCUCUUUUCAAUUUGACUUUGCCCAUAUUCAACGUUGAGCUUUAUCAUCUUCCUAGAAUUUGUGUCCAAACGAAAGGUGGAGGAGAAGAAAAAGAAUCGCUGAGUCAGCUAUCCAGUGUCCAAACGUGAACCAAUGGUUUUUUCUUCUGUAAACAAUGUUCUUGCCGUCGGGCCCUGCAACUAUGGCAUGCUACAGCCCAAAGUUCACUAUUUUUAAGUGAAAGUCUGAAACACAAAACUCGUUCAGGCCAGUGUUUAGAAUCAACCAACUUUUGUUAAGAGUUAAAGGUAGCAGAAGUAAAGAUCAACUGAUCAAGCAAGUACUUAUCAUCAUCAAAAAAUCAUAUGAAGAGGGUCAGGACCAAGAAAACUGGGGUUCAAUAAAUUAUUUGCCAACCAAAUAUAUGGGCCAAAUAGAUGGGCUUCAUUUAACAAAAAUUUAUAUAUCAGAUUCCAUUGCCCUGACAGUUUUUUAUUGGGCUUACAACCCAAAGAAAUAAAGCUAAUCGAGGCUUUUCUUAGGACCAAUUCCUAUACCAGCAUUCAUCGAAGAGAAAAGGAUAUACGAAAAUAUGCUAAUGAUUAUAUUAAAAUGCUUUUUAAAAACUUAGCUUAGUCGAAUUCAACCGAUAUUAACAUGACAGAUUUAAAUAUAAUAAUGGAGGCUUGUCAAACGUGUUUAUUUUUUGGGAAAAAAAAUUCAAAAAUGGCAUAGAUACAUUAGUUAUAUUUUUUGAUUAAAUGGCAAUUUUAUUUAUCCAAGAAGUAAGAAAGAUAAACUUGCUACAAAAAAAUUCAUCAAGUAUAAUGGGUACCAGCUAUUAUAUAUGUACAGAUAAAGAAUUACAAAGUUCAUAGUGUAUAAAAAGUUUCCGAAUUAUAAUUAAAAAUUAUUUAAUUUUUAUUUAAUUUUUAUUGUAAUUAAUCAACUCCUUCAAUAUUUAUUUGCAUCUAAUUAAAUUUUUAUUUAGUUGAAAAAGUUGACAUCGUUAGUUAUUUUUGUGAAAUAAGAUAAACUUUUAUUUGACAUCAAUAAAAUUGAUAAGAAUAUGUCACAUGAGACAUUUACAUUAAGAAUAUUAGGAUCACUUACAUUAGUGUAAGUUUUGCAUUUGUUUAACUUUUAGAUCAAAAUUAAAUCCAUGUCUAUUUUGAAUUCUUUUGUCUUAACUAUUUAGAUCAAUGAUAAAAAAAAAAUAAAAUUAAGUGGAUCUCUUUUUAUAUAUAAAAUUUUUCGUAUUCAAAAUUAUACUAUUAUAUAUGACUAUUUAAUGUUAAUAGAUCAAAGCGUUGAGAUUAAACUGUUUUUUCUCAUUUUUACUUAUUUAUCUUAUUCAUUGGAUCUAUUAAAAUUAAGAAAUAGAAAAUUUUGUAAAAUUAAAAAAAAUUUAACACUAUAUAAGUUAUACCUCCCUAUAUAUAUAUAUAUACAUUUACACUUGCAUCAUUUAUCUUCUUUAUUUAUUUAUUUUUGAAUGAAUUUAUUUUCUUUAUUUGUUUGUUUAUUUCCUAAAUUUAAAUCAUGAAAUUAAUUAUAUAUUGAAGCUAAUUACAAUAUUAUUUGUUUGACAGAAAUUUAAGUUGCGUCAUGCAUGCAUGAUUCAUGCAUGUGCCCAGCGUAUGAACAAAAAAGAAAUGAUUUCUGGUCUCAACAUACUCCAUCAUAAUUACAAUAUUAGUAGUAUUUCUUUAUGGCUUUGACGAAAAUGACAAACUCUUCUUUCCUUCCUUUAAGCCCUCGAAGGGAUAAAUGAACGUAUGGAGGUACAAAGCUGGAACUAAGAAGAGUUUCUCUUGCAUUUAUGAUCCAGGAUCGAUCUAAGACACUCAACCUUAAAAAAAAAAAAGAGGCGGUGGCCUGCUGGUUGAUCAGAUAAGAACACCCACUCACCGUUGUUGUCAACAAAUAACAAGUGUCCAUGGUUCUCAUUCGUCAGGAUUUUGAUGAAGGAAUUCAUAGCCCCACUUGGAUUGUGAUGUGCUUACAAUUUGCUCGGAAGGGGAUAUGAUUUUUCUUCUUUUUCAAUUUCUCACUCUUUUCAUUUUUUAACAAGGUUUUAUCAAUGAAAACGUGGCAUAUUGCAGUUGCAGAUCAUGUCCGAAUAAGUCAAGAUCCAAACCAGAAAAGAAAAGAAAAGAAAAGAAAGGGAAUUAAAAUCGUACUGGCAUUACAUAAGUUGGAAUGAAAGGAUAUUCCGUAGGGAAUUGAAAAUUCUCAAAAUAUAUUAGUUGUUAAAAUUAAUUUCAUUCAAAUUUUGGUUAAAAACAAAAGUCAAAAUAGAGACCACACAAAAACGACAAAACAACCUUGCAAUUAACAAACGACACUGUUAUGAAAAUUAAUCCUUUAAAUGUAUGGUUCUUUCCCCUGCUCGGCUUGGUGCUGAUGUGGUUGUCCAUAGUAUCUCCAAGUUUAUCAGCGGUGGGAGCGAUGUUAUUGCAGGUUGGUUUGUAGUAUGUGUCUCAUUUACGGUACACGCGUCAGACAUUAAUCUCAUUUUUUUACGCUGGAAAAACAGCCAUCGAUGACAUGUGUUUUCAGAGUUUUGGUGAAAACUGCCCACUUCCAAAGAAAAACCGAAAAUACUAUGAAUUGAGGAUUCAGAAUCAUAAAAUAAAAUGGGUAAGGAAUAUAGUCAUGCACGUUCCAAAAGUUCGGAUUCAUUAAAGGCAAACGAUCGAAUAUGAUUCUGGUAUGAAUAUAAAAACUCUAAAUAAUGGAUAGGAAAAUUGUUUUAGGGCUAGUGGGGGUGGGGGAGGGGAACUUUUCUCGUGAAUGAUGAUGCUAUUACGUACCGGUAACUUGCAAAGCAGGCAAAUAUUAUUCAAACACAAAUUCUCCUGUUUCUACUUUAAUAAAUAGAUUAAGCCAAUGUAUUAUAUAUAAAAUUAUGAUAAGAUAAAAUAAUAUUAUAAAUAAAAUAAAAUAAAAUAAUUUUAUUUUAUAUUUGAUAUGUGUAAAAAUUAUAAUAAAAUAAUUUAUUUAUUGAUCAAAUUAUUUUUUAAAAAAUUUUAUAUAGUUUAAAUUAUUAAUAUAAUUUUUAAAAAUAUAAUAAAAUAUAUAAAUUCAAUCUUAUAAAUUAAAAAUAAUUUUUUUACUUUAAAAAAAUUAAUUAUCUUACAUUAAAAAGACGAUGAUUUUUUUUAUAAUCAAAUUAUAGUUUUAAAUAUAAAUUAAAUAUAAUAAAAUAAUUAUCAUUUUAUUUUAUAUAUUAUUCUGUACAGCAAAUAUGACCUUGAUUCGUUUUCUAACUAUCUUUUUUAUGGCUGAUAAGGAUAUUCUCCUGCAGCUGCAACUUCACUAAUUUUUCAAAUUUUCACCGAUAAGGAUUCCAUCAUUGUCAGAGAAUCCUGGUAGUGUAGGCAAUAUUUUGUUAAUUCAAUAAAAUGGGAAUUUUCAGGUGCUGUUUAUGGUCCUGCAAGCCUGGUGAACUCCAUGAUGGACCUUCAUCAAGGUGCUCUGAUGCUCCUAGGCCAGACCAUGAACUCCAUGGUUGCCUUUGAGCCCUCUGAAAAGGAUCCCUCACUUGGGCCUUAAAUGAAGGAGCACAGUGGCAGAACCAUGGAUUAUGCCACUAGAAUGAAGAAACUGGGCCUCAGGGUGAUCUACCUGGGCCUUGAGGAUCAACCUCAAGACGAGCUAUUGAAGUCCAUGGCCAACAAGGAAUAUGGGUUUGGUGAUCUCCUUUGACAUGGAAUCUGAAGAAAGGGCUAACAGGCCGAUGCACCACUUUCAGAACUACAGUCAAUUUGGGUUCACAGCGAUUAGCUCGGGUUACUAUGAGACUCUGAUGUCUUGCUCUUGUAGUAGUACCAGCAAGGAAUUGACUGAUGAAGAGAAGGCACUUACCGGUAUUUCGCCAGGGCUGGUGAGGAUGCCCAUUGGAUACAUUGGGACACUGCAGAAGAAGUGGAGUCCAUUAGAAAAGGCGCUCUCUAUUAUGCACGAUUCCACCUUAUUCAAUAAAAACUAAAGUUCUUUCAUCUCGUGUUCAAUAAUGGGUUGGUCGUAGUUCAUGUAAUGAAGGUUUCAUUUGUUCUAUUUCAGUUGUUAAUGUAAGUCAUAGAGAUAAUAUAGAUGGUUAAAAAAAAAAAAAAGAAAAGAACUAUAUAUAUGUAGAAGUGUGGAUCGAAUAAAUUUGGAAUUAAUUCUGUAAAUGUUCAUGUAGACAUUAAUGCAAAUUUGAAAAAACAUAUAUGAUUUGUGUUGUCAUAUUUUUUAUUUUUUAUAAAAAGGAGAUUACAAUAUGAUGAUAAAAAAUCAUGAAAAAUAAGCUAUAACGACUUACUGGAUGCCAUUUAAAUUGUCUAUACAUGCAAAAUAUCACAAAAAAUAAGUUAUCAUGUAUAUUUUGUUUCUCUCUUUUUGUUUCUUUUGUAUACUUUAUUUAUCAUCAUCACUGUCCGGAUAUACAUUAGCAUGUGGAAUUAGAGGGAAAAUUAUACUAUCAUAUCUUUUCUGACUAUGCAAAACUUAUAUAUACAUAUAUAUAUAUAUAUAUAUCUGUUGCACUUGCAUCCUUAUCUUAUUUAUUUGUUUGUUUAUUUCCUUUGUAUCUAUACAUAUUUAAACCAUAAAAUUAUAUAUUGAAGCUAAUUACAAUAUUAUUUUUUUAACAGAAAUUCAGCAUGAUUCAUUCAUGUGCCCAACGUAUAAACAAAGAACGAAAUGAUUCUUGCUCUCAACAUACUCCAUCAUGAUUACAAUAUUAGUAGUAUUUCUUUUUGGCUUUGAUGAAAAUGACAAAGUCCUCCUUGAAUUUGUUAGAAAAAUAAGGUCCAGCCUCAUGUAAGUGGUUUUAGACCAAGUAAAGGUUAUGAGCCUUGAUCUUUCAUUUUACACAGACAUAUAGUUACUUAAUAAAAAAGAGGUGGGGUUAUUUUAAGUGGGUGUCGAAAACCAAGUAAAGAAAAAAGAAAAGUAAAAAAAAAUAGAGAAAAAAGAAAGAAAGAAGAGUUGGUUGAACAGAAGUCGAUCUGUGGUCCGAUUGAGUUGGAACCUUGUCAGGAGGUUUAUGAUUCAGAGUUCUACAUUCUGAACGGUGAAGAUCGAGUAUAAAGCUCUCUAGGAACAAAUCCAUGGUGUAUUUAUUGAGUAACUUAUUUGGUUAGAUUUCUCAAAUUGUUUCUCUAGUUGUUGAUUAGCUCUAGUUUUAGCUAGAGAAGAACUUUGUAUACCUAUUAUUUGAUAGUGAAGAUUUUUCUGGUGGUUCGUGAUUUUUUUCUCUACAUUGGAGGGUUUUUUACGUAAAUCUUGGUGUACUUUAUUUUUUUUUGCGUUUUUUGAUUACUGAUUGUUGUCUAUUAUUUCUGUAUUAUUAUGAUUAUUACUUCAGGUGCAACAAGUGAUAUCAGAAUGAGGGUUAUUUUGAAACAUCGAUACAUAAGCAACCUCGGAUAAAAGUAAAUUAUGUUUGAGAUCAUGAAGGGUGAUACAGGUUUCUUGAUAAAAUUAACAACAUCGAAUUAUUCAAUUUGAAAGUCUAUGAUGGAGGAUCAUCUAUACUGUAAAGAUUUGUAUGAGCCAGUAUUGGGUGAUUCAACUAAACCAACAGAAUAAAAGAUGAAAGCUGAAAGAAGCUAGGUAAAAAGAUGCUAGCUACAAUCAAAAAAUAGGUUGAUAUAAGUGUGUUCCAUCAUGUAACGCAGGAGUCAGAUGCUCACAUUGUUUGAAAAAAAUUGACAGCAUUGCAUGAGAGAAAAAUAGGUAUGAAUAAAGUUAUGCUUGUUAAAAAGCUUACAAUUUUACAGUACAGGGAUGAACGAUCUGUUACAAAGCACUUGAGUGAUUUUCAAGAUAUAUUUAAUCGGAUGACUACUAUGGUACUUAAGAUGGAUGAUGAAAUGAAGACGUUAUUUCUUUUGGGUUCAUUGUCAAACAGUUGAAAUACUCUAGUUGUGACUGUUCUUAAUUCAGCUCCUGAUUAUAAGGUGACAUUGGAAAUGGUAAAGGACAAUAUGCUUAAUGAAGAAGCAAGAUGAAAAGAUGUAGACCCUGAAAAUCAAGCUCUGGUCACAGAAAACAGGGAUAGAAAUAUCGACAGAGGUCAUGACUCAAAAAGUCAUAGUAAGUCUAAACAUAGAUCCCAGUCUAGAGGUAAAGUGAAGUGUUGCUAUUGUGGUAAGGCAUGUUAUAUAAAAUGAAACUGUAAAAUCUUGAAGCAAGAGCGAAAAGAUAAGAAAGGUAAGAGUUCAGAUGAUGGUAACGUUAUAGCAGUGAAUUCAGAUAGUGAUUCAGUUACUUUGAUUUGUACACAUGAUGAUUGUAAUCAUAUUAGUGAUCCCGACAUUAAGUGGAUAGUUGACACAGGAAUAACAUAUCAUUGUAUUUCUAAGAGAGAGUUAUUUACAACUUACAAAGCAAGAGACUUUAGUUGUACUAAAAUAAAAAACAUGAGUGUGUCGUAGAUUGUUAAGAUUGAUGAUAUUGUUGUACAAACUAGUACAGGCUACAUGUUAACUUUGAGGGAUAUCAGACACAUUUCAGAUAUGAGAAUGAACUUGCUUGCUAUUAAUAUCUUUGAUAAGGAGGGAUAUGAAAGUCGACAAAAGAAUAGACAAUGAAAGCUUUUCAAAAGAUCUAUAGUAGUUGCAAGAGAAAAAUUAUGCUGCACAAUAUAUAAGACAUGGAUGUAAUUGAACGGUAACCAGGUAAAUGCCAUUAAAAAUGAUGCUUCAACAAACUUAUGGCACAGGAGGCUAGCACACAUGAGUGAAAAAAGUUUACAGGUUUUGGCAAAGCCAUCUCUUAUUUCCUUGACCAAAAGUAUGUCUCUCGAUUCAUGUAAUUAUUGUUUGUUUGGUAAGCAUCAUAGAGUUUUUUUUCGUAAAAGUUCUCAGAGAAAAAAAAGAUUGAAAUUAAUUUAUUCUGACAUAUGUGGUCCCAUUGAGGUUAAGUCAUUAGGUGGUAGCAGAUAUUUUAUUACUUUUGUUGAUGAUGCUUCACGUAAGACUUGGGUGUAUAUGUUGAAAUACAAAAGUCAGGUACUACAGUAUUUUUAAAAAUUUUAUAUCAUGGUUGAAAAGAUGACAAAGUUAUCCUUGAAGUGUAUUCGAACUGAUAAUAGUAGGGAAUACACAUCUAAAUGCUUUGAAGAGUAUUGUUCAAAGUAUAAGAUCAGGCAUAAGAUGAUAGAACCUGGAACACCGUAGCAUAAUGGUAUAACUGAAAGAAUGAAUCGUACCAUUAUGAAAAAAGUCAAAUGUAUGUUGAGGAUGAAAAAAUUACCAAAGCCAUUCUGGGGUAAAACAGUUAACACGACUUGUUAUUUACUUAACAGAUCACCAUCAGUUCUUUUGAGCUUUGACAUUUCAGAAAGAGUGUAGACAAGAAAAGAUACUUUAUACUCUCACUUGAAAGUUUUUGGGUGUAAAGCAUUCAUGCAUGUGUCGAAAGAGCAGAGAUCAAAGCUUGACAGUAAAGCCACACAGUGUGUGUUUGUAGGAUAUGAUGAAAAAUUUGAUUACAGGGUAUAAAAUCCAGUAAAGAAAAAGACAAUCAAAAGUAAAGAUGUAAUCUUUCAUGAAAAAAAAAUCAUAGCAGACCUUGAAAAAAAUGAGAAGACUACACGAGUUACUGUUGAGUAUGAUAUUUUAACACCGACAGAGAUUCCACAGAAAGAGCCACAAAUGGUGAAAAUGAGCAAGAAACAGAACUUGGAAAUAUGAAUAAGCUAGCCACAGUUGGUGAUGAGCCAGAUGUAAUUAGUUUUGAACAAGAUGAGCAAUCCUCUCUACCUGAGAGUGUUGAACAUGAGGAGUUACCUUUGGCAUCAAGUGAUAUAGAAUCUCAGCUUAGGAGAUCUACUAAAGAGUACAAGCCAUCUAUCAGGUAUCUAAGUUCAGAUUUUAUUUUAGUUACCAGUAAAUGAGAGCCAGAAAGCUUUCAAGAUGUACAGGCUAUUUCGGAUAGAGAGUACUGGUUAAAAGUAAUAAAAAAAUAGAUGAAAUCAUUGCAAAAGAAUGAUACUUACGAUCUUAUUAAACUUCUAACAGGGAAGAGGCCAUUAAAGAAUAAAUGAGUAUUCAAGUUGAAAAAAGAUGGUGAUAAACUAGUGAGGUACAAAGCUCGAUUGGUAGUAAAAUGGUUUUCUCAGAAAUCGGGCAUCGAUUUUAAUGAGAUUUUUACUCCAGUUGUAAAGAUGAGUUCUAUUCGAGUGGUACUGGGAUUAAUAGCUAGUUUAAAUCUUGAGCUUGAGCAACUUAAUAUUAAAACUAUAUUUUUGCAUGGUGAUUUACAUGUGGACAUUUAUAUUAAUCAGCUUGAGGGUUUUAAAGUGAAAGGGAAAGAGCACUUAGUUUACAAAUUGAAAAAAAAACUUGUAUGGCUUGAAACAAGCUCCGCGAUAGUGGUACAAGAAGUUUGAUUCUUUUAUGGUGAGUCAUAGCUAUAAAAAAUAACAGCUGAUUCUUGUGUGUAUGUUAAACAAUUUUCUAAUGGUAACUUCAUUAUCCUAUUAUUAUAUGUUGAUGAUAUGUUAAUUGUAGGAUAAGAUGCUAGUAUGGUUUACAGGUUGAAAGAACAAUUGUCUAAGUCUUUUGAUAUGAAAGAUUUAGGUUCAGUAAAACAGAUUCUUGGUAUGAACAUUAUCCGAGAUAAAAGAGCUAAAAAGCUAUGGUUGUCAUAGGAAAAGUAUGUUGAACGAGUGCUUGGUAGAUUUAACAUGCAACAUGCUAAAUCAGUUAGCAGUCCAAUUACCAAUCAUUUUUAUCUAAGUAAGAAAUCUUGUCCAGUGUCUAAGGAAGAGUAACUAGCUAUGUCUAGUAUUCCUUAUUCUUCUGCGGUUGGUUCUUUAAUGUAUCUUAUGGUUUGUACAAGGCCUGAAAUUACUCAUGUAAUUAGUGUAGUGAGCAUAUUUCUUUCUAAUUCGAAAAAAAGUUCAUUGAAAAGUAGUGAAAUUGAUUUUUAGAUAUUUGAGAGGUACCUUAAAAAUGUGCUUGACUUAUAAAGUUUCACAACCAGUUUUAGAAGGGUUUACGAAUGCUGAUAUGGCAGACGAUCUUGAUGGUAGAAAAUCUACUUCAGGGUAUUUGUUCACUUUUACAGGAAGAAUUGUAUCUUGGCAAUCUAAGUUACAGAAGUGUGUUGCUUUAUCAAUUACAGAGAUUGAGUAUAUUACAGUAAUUAAAGCAUGUAAAAAAAUGCUUUGGAUGAAACGUUUUCUUUUUGAAUUGAGGUUGAAUCAGAAAGAGUAUGUGAUAUUUUGUGAUAACCAGAGUACUUUAGAUUUGAGUAAGAAUACCAUGUACCAUGCUAGAACAAAGCACAUUGAUGUUAGAUAUCAUUGGUUAUGUUCAGUGAUUGAAGAACAACGAUGCUAUUGAAGAAAGUUCAUACUGAUAAGAAUAUAGUAGAUAUGUUGACUAAGAUACUUCCAAGAAAAAAGCUUGAGCUUUGCAGUAACUUGGCCGGAAUGAGUUCCCUGGCCAAGGUAAGUUCCAAAUGAAACUGCUAUGGUGAUGAAUCUCCUUUUAAUGGGGCUGGAUGGGGAGAUUGUUAUGAAAAUGGGGUCCAACCUCAUGUAAGUGAUUUUGGACCAAGUAAAGGCCAUAGGCCUUGAUCUUUCAUUUUACAUAGAGUCCUAGCUACUUAAUAAAAAAGAGGUGGGGUUGUUUUAAGUGGGUGGCAAAAACCAAGUAGAGAAAGAAGAAAAGCCAAAAAAAAUAGAGAGAAAAAAGAGAAUGGAGAGUUGGUUGAACGAAAAUCGAUCCGUGGUCCGAUUGAGUUGGAACAUUGUCAAGAGAUUUAUGAUUAAGAGUUCUACAUUCUGAACAGUGAAGAUCGGGUUUGAAGCUCUCUAGGAACAAAUUCAUGAUAUAUUUGUUGAGUCACUUAUUUGGUAAAAUUUCUCAAAUUAUUUCUCUAGUUGUUGAUUAGCUCUAGUUUUAGCUAGAGAAGAACUUUGUAUAUUUAUUAUUUGAUAGUGAAGAUUUUUUUGGUGGUCCGUGAUUUUUUUCCUCUACACUAGAGGGUUUUUUACGUAAAUCUUGGUGUGCUUUAUUUUUUCUAUAUUUUUUUAUUAUUGAUUAUUAUUUAUUGCUUUUGUAUUGUUGUGAUUAUUGCUUCAGGCGUAACGAAAUUUGUCAAAACCCGACUUUCUUCUUUGUCAAAUCUAGACAUCUUGUCUUUGGUCCAAAUAAAAGGAUUACCCUGCUUUCAAAUACCUAACCUUUCAUAUCUCCACUUUCCGAUUACUAAUAAUAUGGGAUAUAGUAAUACAGUUUAUAAGUUAAUAGUAAUAAUUAAGCGGUGUUUUUCUCUUCAUAUCUCCUCUUUCCUUCGAAGGGAUAUUUGAAAGUAUGGAGGUACAUAACUGGAAAUAAGAAGAGUUCAUCUUGUAUGUAUGAUCCAGAAUCGAUGAAGACACUCAACCUUAAAAAAAAAAAAAAUGAGGUGCUGGCCUGCUGGUGAUCAGAUAAGAACAUUUUGCACGUUGUUAUCAGCAAAUAGAACGUGCCCAUGGUUGUCACUUGUCAGAAUCUUGAUGAAGUGGCAGAUAAACUUCCACUUGGAACGUGAUGCGUUUACAAAUUUUCUCGGAAGGGGAUAUCUUUUUUUUUUCUUUUCAAUUUCUAACUAACAGGGUUUUAUCAAUGAAAAUGUGGCAUAUUGUAGUUGCAGAUCAUGUCUCAUUAAGACAAUUUCAAAGCCAGAUAAGUAAAGAAAGGAAAAUCAUACUGGAAUUAUACAAGUCGUAAUGACAGAAUAUUACUUGUUAGAAUUAAUUUCAAUCAAAUUUUGGUUAUAAUCAAAAGUCAAAAUAGAGAUAUGACUUCACAAAAACGAUCUAACAAUUUGAUACGACACUGCUACGUGUUUGCGUUUGUAACAUCCUUUAAAAUGUCGUCUCUGUUAGUUUAUUGCAACGUCAAUAACUUAAAUUUGGUUUGACGAUUACCUACUUCUCUCGCCUUUCUCCAAUCUAAUAGAUAAAUAGUAGAAGUGCCGACUCCUUUUGAACUGUUGAUGUUGGCAUAUGGUUUUAUAGUUUUCUCCUUUACGCUUUCCACUCCAUGCACUAAUUAUGACCAAAUAGUCAAAAACAUACCUAUAGAUAUCUAUCUGCAUGUUUUGGAAGACUAAAGAAUAUUUAUUUGUCUUAAAAAAAAUUUACUAGCUGUUGUGUGUGAAAAGAGAGUUGCGAAGGCGUCGGUAAUAAUUUUAGGGUUGGGAUGGGUAAAUUAUAGGUUUAGAUAAUUUUUUAUUUUUGAGAAUCUAAUUACGAAAAGUUAUGAUUUGAUCAUUAAAAUUUAUGAAAAAUUUUUUUAUCAUUCAAUUAUUAGAAAUUAAUUAACGAAAUGUUGACAUAAUAUUAUGGUAUCAUUUGUCAAAAUGUCGUAUAAUAUUGCUUUGACAUUCGAUAUAUCAUAUGACACUAUUUGCGUAGCAUAAUAAGUUUUGAAAAUUAAACAAGAUAAAUUACAUUUUUAAUCUCUUAACUUUUUGAAAGUUUUUAUUGUUUUAAUCCAACUUUGAAAACUUUACAAUUUGAUUAUUAAUGUUUUUGAAAUUAUUCAUAUUUUUAAUAUUUUGUUACAUGAAAGUAAUGCUACAAAUUUUUAUUUUUAUUAGGAUGUUGUCGUUAUAAAAUAUUUAAUAUUUAAUAUUUAAUAUUUCAUUUAAGUUUUCUUGAUUGGUUAAUGUAAUAUAUUAAAAUACUUAAAUUUAUUUGAGUGAGCUGGAUGACAAAUACUUUUAAGUAAUGCUAAUCAAGUAAAUUUAGCAAUUGGCUUUAAUCAUAUUCUUUUUAAAUUUAAAGGGUAUAAUAAUUUUAAUUUUAUGCACUAAAAAUAUUGAUUGCUCAUUUUUUUAAUAAAGUUCAAAACUUUAUUUGAAUAUUAUCUUAGUAUCUUUCAAUAUAGAUAACAAAAAUAACAUAACAAUUUAUUAUUUUAAUAAAAAAUUGUUGAUUAAAUUGUUAUAAAGUCAUGUGACAAUGAGACAUUGAAAAAUUUUUCAGGAGCAUGUCAACUACAAUUGGGUGACCAAAAAUAAAUUCAUAAAGCUAAUAACUAAAUUUUAACUUUUCAUAAUUAAUGAUCAAAAUAAAAAAUCGUCUAAAGGUGAAUGAUUAAAAGUGUAAUAUAUUAUCGUUAAAAAAUACGUGUUAACCCUUCAAAAAAAUUGUUAAUUGGCAUAUACAUGAUAUUGUAAUAUUGUAAUUAAUAUGAAUUAAUUAAAUAUUUAUUUAUUCAAAAAAAUCACCUACAAAGUCUUUAUAAGCAAACAUCUAAAUAAUUAAUAAUGUCAUAUUUUAAUUUGAAUAUCUCGAUUUCAAAUCAUAUAAAUAAAGAAUUUGUAGAAUGCGAAAAAAAAUACCUUUUUUUUUUAUAAAUUAUUAUAUGUUAAAAUUAAAAUAUUGAACAAAUAACUGAGUAAUUGAAAAACAUGGUAAAAUUUUCAAAAUUUUCAACCCAUUUAUCGGAAAAAAAAAAGUUGUAACCCUUAUUUUUGGUAACCCCUACGAGGUUAUAACUUUAGGUAAAUGUAUAUAGGAAAUUUCCGAAAUCCCUAAUAAAAAACAGAUUAGAUUCACUGGAUUUUAUUUUAAGAAAAAGUUUAGGUAAUGUCACAUAAGAUAAUAUUUUACUUUUUUUAUAAUUAAAAUUAUCAAAAUUUAAAUUUGAUUAUUGAUCGCAGCACUAACUAUUUUGUCUAUCUCUUCCCCAGACGGCUCUUUAAUUCCUUCUCCUUAAUAAUUUUAUUUCAUCUUUCAAUUUUGCCAUUAACAUUUACGUCCCCACCAACAAAACCCAAACAACAAAAAAAGGAGCGAAAGAUUUCUUGGAGGUUGGUUCAAUCUUGAUUCCCGUUCCCUCUAGAAUUAAUUAUGGAAGAAACAGAGAACCCUGGCUUUGUUUUUACCGGAAAGAAGAGAGCUGCAGGGGCUGAUGGAUUUGACGGGGAUGAUCUUUUCGUGGCCAAGACAUCAACCCUAGCACCAGCAUGGGAAAAUGACCCUGCCGCUGCAUUAGCCAGCGCGCGCCAUGAAUUCGGUGAGCAUGGUGGCGUUAACAUGUCUAUUGAGGCCUCCGCCACAUUCACCGUCAUGGAACCUGAGACCAUGCGCCGCAUGUUUGCUGGUGAACUCGGCCCUGAUCGUGAUUUCUUCAUUUAUAGCCGUCACUUCAAUCCCACUGUCUUAAAUCUCGGUCGUCAGAUGGCAGCCAUGGAAGGAACCGAAGCUGCCUAUUGCACUGCCAGCGGUAAUUAAUUUUUCUGUUUCACUUUCACUUUUUAUUUCACACGUAAAAAUCUAAAAAACAUUAUUAUCAAAACCUUCAAUUUGAUGGUUAAUAAUUUGAUUUCGUGAUUACAGGUAUGUCUGCUAUUUCAUCCGUGCUGUUGCAGCUCUGCAGCAGCGGUGGACACGUGGUGGCAUCGAGGACUCUCUACGGCGGGACCUAUGCACUCCUAACCCAUUUCUUGCCCAGAGCCUGUAACAUCACGACCACGUUCGUGGACAUAUGCGAUCACGAAGCGGUGAAAAAUGCCAUCGUCGAAGGACGGACCAAAGUUUUGUACUUCGAGUCCAUGUCGAACCCUACACUCGCUGUAGCCAACAUUCCGGAGCUAAGCAGGCUAGCACACGACAAAGGAACCAUGGUGGUUGUAGACAACACCUUCGCUCCCAUGGUUCUUUCCCCUGCUCGGCUUGGUGCUGAUGUGGUUCUCCAUAGUAUCUCCAAGUUCAUCAGUGGUGGGGCCGAUGUUAUUGCAGGUUUGUUUGUCUCUUUUUUGUCAUUUACCGUACACGAGUCACACAUUAUUAGGUUGGAAAAAGAGCCAUCAAUUACGUGUAAUCUUCUGAUUAAUCAAGUUAAAUGGUUGAAUCUAGGAAUUGACUUCAGAGUUUCGAUGAAAAUUGGCUUUUUCCAAAAAAAAAGAAAAGAAGAAAAAAAAAUACUACCAUGAAUUGAGGAUUCUUAAUCAUAAAAUAAAAUGGGAAAUGAAUAUAGUCUACCAUAGUCCAAAAGUUUCGUUUUCUAGCUAUCUUUUUUAUGGUUGAUAAGGCUAUUCUCCUGCAAUUUCUCUAAUUUUUCAGUUUUUCACCGAUAAGAUCAUUAUCUUGAGGUGUGCGUUUCGAUCCUCCGUUUCCUCUUAUGGAUAAGCGUUCAUGUGAAGUGUUUUGUAUUUUUUAUUUUUCUGAUAAAUUCUGUAUACCAACUUAAAGUUUCAGGGCCUUAAAUUUGACAUUUCUAGUUGAAAAGUUAUAUAUCCCUUCUACAAAAGUUUUUAAUAAUCUUUUGCCCUAAUGUUGUUACCUUGCUAACUUCUAGGCAAAGCUAGAUUGCCAAAAACAUUAGUUCUUGUGAAAUAUAAAUGCUUUUUUAGUCAGUUUAUUGAUAUUGGAAUAUAGUAACUAUUAUUGACCGAGAAUCCUGGAAGUGUAGAUAUGCAUUUUGUUAAUCCAAUAAAAUGAGAAAUUUCAGGUGCUGUUUGUGGUCCUGCAAGCCUGAUGAACUCCAUGAUGGACCUUCAUCAAGGUGCUUUGAUGCUCCUAGGCCCGACCAUGAACGCCAAGGUUGCCUUUGAACUCUCUGAAAGGAUACCUCACUUGGGCCUAAGAAUGAAGGAGCACUGCCACAGAGCCAUGGAUUAUGCGACUAGAAUGAAGAAAUUGGGACUCAGGGUCAUCUACCCGGGCCUUGAGGAUCACCCUCAACACGAGCUAUUGAAGUCCAUGGCCAACAAGGAAUAUGGGUUUGGUGGUCUUCUUUGUGUUGACAUGGAAUCUGAAGAAAGAGCUAACAGGCUGAUGCACCACUUGCAGAACUACAGUCAUUUUGGGUUCAUGGCUGUUAGCUUGGGUUACUACGAGACUCUGUUGUCUUGCUCUGGUAGUAGUACGAGCAGUGAAAUGAAUGCUGAAGAGAAGGCCCUUGCCGGUAUUUCGCCAGGGCUGGUGAGGAUGUCCAUUGGAUACAUUGGGACACUGGAGCAGAAGUGGAGGCAAUUAGAAGAGGCGCUCUCUAGGAUGUAGGAUUCCACCUCAUUCAAUAAAAACUUAAGUUCUCUUGUAUUCAAUAAUGGUUUGGUCGUAGUUCAUGUAAAGAAGGUUUCAUUUGUGCUAUUUCAUUUUUUUUUUUUUGAAAUUUGCUAUUUUAAUUGUUAAAUGCUGGACAUUUUGCAUAAUAUAUUGUUUCUUUAAAGAAAAAAAAAAGACUUUAACUUCAAUAAUUCUUUUCUUUUCUUUUUUUUUUUUUUAGAUAUCCACAAAUCUUUUCUAGAUGCAACAAUUUAGAACAAAAUCAAAAAUAAAAUACAGGGUUAAUAUUAUGGUAAAAUGUUCAAUAUGAUUUUUAAAUUUAAAAAAUUUUUAAUUUGAUAUCUGAAAUAUAAAUUUUUUAAUUACUAUUAUACAAUUUUUAAUGUGAUUAAUUAACUAAAUGAUAACCCAAUAUUCAAGUUGAGCUUUACCAUCUUCCUAGAAUUUGUGUAGAAACAAAAGGAGAAGAAGAACAAGAAUCCCUCAGUCAACUAUGCAGUGUCCAUACGUGGCCCAAUGGUCCUUUCUUCCGUAACAUUCUUGCCCUCGGGCCUUGCAAUUAUGCUAUGCCACAGGCCGAAGUUAAAAUUUUAAGUGCAAGUCUGAAGCACAAUAGCAGUUCACAACAGUGUGUAGAAUCAACCGGCUCUUGUUAAAGGUAGCAGAAGGAAAGAUGAAACCAACAUUGAAGAAACAUAUGAAAAGGCUCUGGACCAAAAAAACUGGGGUUCAGAUACAUUAAUUUCCCACCCAACAUAUGGGCCAAAUGAAUGGGCUUCAUUUAAGAAAAAUUUAUAUAGUAGAUCUAUGGCCCUGGCAUAUUUAGGCUUCAAACCCAAACAAAUAAAGCUAAGUGAGGCUUUUCGUGGGACCAAUUCCAAAACCAGCAUUCUCCGAAGAGAAAAGUAUACACUAAAAUACAAUAAUAAUUAAAUUAAAAUAACUCUUAAAAACUUAGCUUAGUCGAAUUCAACAGAUUUUAACAUGACAAGCUAGCGACUGGUAUGCGAUGUUUUUUUUCUUCUUUCCUUCUUGAAGUAGACUCGUUCGGAUUGUUAGAUGGGUGAUUAUUCUUACUAAUUGGAGAUGGAACUAAUUUUCAAGGCUUUUUAUAAAAUUCUAUUAGAUAGUGUAACGAAAGCAUUUUUAUCUUAUCUAAGAUUGCAUUUUAUGAUUGAAUUUCUUUAAAAUGAAGUUAAGUAAAUAAUUUGCCCUCUAAUUUCUUUUUUUUUUAAUCCCCAAUUCAAGUUUAUAUGAUUUUCUUAAAAUUAUACAAUAUGAUUUUUUUUUAAAGAAAUGCUUUUCUUCAUCAUUAUAUAUGGAUAAUAAUUUCCAAAGUGAUCACAAUUAUCACACAUCUUUCAAAUGCUACUUGCAUCUGUCAUUGACUAGACUAAUUCAUUCACAAAACAUUUUCCACACUCUAAUAAUAGACCUAAAAAGUUUUGAGUAGCUAGUUAGGCCGCCUAAUAUAUAUAAUUUGGAAACCUUCGAACAUCAUAAUCUUACCCAUAUCCAACAUUAUAUCACUUGCUGGGUAUAGCAUGGACAAAAGGUGUUUUGGUUAAGAAAUAAUCAUUACAUAUAGUCAACUUUGUAUCACAUAAAAGAUGUUCAAGCCAAUUUCGAGCAUAUUUUUGUACAAAGAAAUCGCAAUACAAGAAAAGAAAAAAUAAUUGCAAGUAUUAUGAUUUGUUCUUUAGAUUUAUUGAAUAUCACAACUUAAAAAAUUCCGAAUUUUCAAGAUUUAAAUCAUUCAGUUAGCAAAAGUUUCGGUUUAAUGCUCCAUUGAAAUCUUAAUCAGUUGGCUAUCGCUGGUCAGUGCGCAUGAUCACCCAAAAACCCGACAUAUAUUCUACUUCCUCUGUUCUAUCACAUUAUUAUCAGUACAAUUUAAUAAUGAUCAGUUCAAUUUGCUGGACGUUGUGCCCCAUGAACUUGGUAUUAUCAUGUUUUUCAUCGAUAAAUCUUUCGUGAAUAACUGUACGUUUCACCUAAUUUCUUUGCCUUAUGAAUUUCCAAAUUUCCCUGGUUCAAUCACAAUGUUUGCCAUAUAAACAUUGUCUCAAUUAAAAUACAAUAUAUGUAUCAAAAUUAUUGCUUUUAAUUACUGGUUGAUCCAUGAACUAUAUGAUGAUGAUGAUGAUGAUGAUGAUGAUCUUAUGGCAGACCGUGCUUUAAAAUCUUCCAAAAUAGGCUGUAAAUUAUAAUUAGUUCGUGAAAGAAAACCUUUAACUAGCGACAAGGAACGAGUCUCUAGUCUUUAAAAGAAGAUAGUUUCAUUGCUUCAUGAUUUGAUAUGAAUUGCAUAGUAUAUAAUAAUUUAUCGGGACUAUUCUUCUUCAUGCUAAGAACCAAAAGGAAUGAAUAUGGUCAUCAUCAAUCAAAAAGGGAGGACCGAUGGUGGGACUUGUUAAAAAGGACAAUGCGUGUCAAAAAAGACAGGAAAAUAUGAGCCAUAUAUGAAAGCAUUAGUAGCCUAAUAGUCAUGAUCUUGUACUGAUUAUUUGAUGUCUUAUUUUUGGCCCCAUGUUUUUCUGGGUAUCUCUCUAUCUCUUUUAGGUACAUAACAACGUUUUUACACGACAAUCCCCUCAUAAUCAGGGUUCGAUACAUCUGUACAAGGACAUAUCUCAUUUGGUAACCACACCUAGCUCUGUCCAGGGGAUAACAACGAAUCAAUCGAAGAUUUUCACGUAUGGCCCAAGUAGAGAUGCGAGCAUGUGUCAUUAUGAACGUAACCUUUUCCAUUAUGCAAAAAUCAUGGACACGGUGUAUGGUACCACUCGAAGGAGAUUUGAAAUAUAUAUAGCACAAAAUUUUGCAUUUAAGUUUGAUUUGAUUCGAUCAGCUGCUAGCUCCAGCUUGGCCCCGUGCAUGAAUUUAGGACGUGUGAGAGUGAUGUGAAAUGCACGAAGCCAAAGCUUUUUAACAGAAAAAAAAUUGAACAUAUCCUUAAAAUUUUGCAUACAAUAGCAUCUUGCUUUUAUUUUGAUUUUAUAAGUCUUGGAUUGAGACUUGGGAAAAUGGGUCUUUAUUGUAACAGAAAGGGACGAUCACAAUCGAUGUUGGGGCAAUGGACAAAGUUGUUUCAAUGUACAAUAGUUUUCGCAAAGUACCAUUAGUGUCUUUCAAUCCAUGUGCAUUUCACGUGCUGUUGACUGGUUGCUUAUCAUAUACGAUUACCCUAUUCAAGGGCAAGGGGAAAGAAUCGGAAAUGGCCCCCAACCCCAAGUUCAGAUAAUGAAAAAAUUCACAGACAAAAAGGCAAGGUCGUCUAUGUACUGUGUUAUCAUUCUUUUUUAUCAUGAAAAAAUUGUUAAACAUUUCAUUUAAAAUUAAUUUACAGUAAAUAGAAGGACCUAACUUAAAUAUAAAGUUAUAAAAAAUUAAAAAUUUAUUAGAUAUGAAAUAAUCCACUUAUAAAAAAUUAAAAAUUUAUUAAAUGUAAGAUAACCUACUUUAACAUGUCUCAUUACCUGUAGGUGAAAAUGAAAGAAGUCUUUUACAUGACAAAUUAAGAAAUGAUAACGGAAAAAAAUCUUGAUUUUGAUACCAUGUUAAACAUCCAAUUCACAAUCAAUCACUAACUUAUUAGAAGACAGUUCAACAAUAUCUCAAGUAUGAGUUUUCUCAAGAGCCUGAAGCUCCUCUAUCAUUGUUUGCUGCCACAUAGGAUUAAAGACAGCUUCACGAAAAUUAUGAGGUUUAUGUAAUGUGACUAAAGUAUAAUAAUAGUGAAAACCAUGAAUUUGAGUGUUAGAUUCUCUUAAUCAGGUGGAAUGACGAAAUGAAGGUGGUAUGUAUGGGGAGGGGACAACUGUAUCAAUAGGAGCCUCAAUUAGAUUAGACAUAGUAUGAGUUAAAUAAGACAGAUCAUUAUUUGAAUCAAAAGUACCUAGGAUAGAUCACUAUUUAAGUCAAAAGUACAUAUAAUAGUCUCUUCAUUUGAAAAAUAAUAAAAAAAUGAAUCUAAAAAAAUACAUGGAGAAGAACAUGAUGAAUGUAAUAAGGAUACACUAAUGCACUUUCUAUGUUCUCAAAAAACUACACGUCUUGAGAUGUGAAGAGGUUUAAACACUGGAUCAUAACAUCUAUACCCUUUGUGUUUUAUAAUACAUAACUUGAAUAUUAAAUUAUAAAAUAUUUAUUAGAUGUGAGAUAAUUCACUUUAAUAAGCCUCCAUCAUGUAUAAGGCUUAUACCUUUUAUGUUUUAUACCAUAACCUAAAUAUAAGAUUACAUGAUAUUUAUUAGAUGUGGGAUAACCCACUUUAACAAGCCCUUAUCAUGUGUAAGGGAAAAUGAAAAAAACCUUUUACGUAUCAAAUUAAGAAAGAAUAAUAAAAAUUUUUUUUAACUCUGAUACAAUGUUAAGCAUCCAACUUAAAAUCAAUUGACAAUAAAUGAGGGGCUUAAUCUAAAUAUAAGACUAUAAGAAAUUAGAUAUUUAUUAUACGUGAGAUAACUCAUUUUAACAAAAAUCAUGCUUUUUUUUUAUCUUUCUUUUUUCCCUAACUAAAAAGGAAAACGAAAUCUAUAUCCUCCUUUGAUCUCAUCUCUGACAUUUUCUUCAUUUGAAAAUGAAAACUCGUUCCUUUCAUUUGAAUAUAAAAAUGUAUAGAUGGAUUAAUGAAUCCAUAGAUAAAUAAAUAUGCGCGUAUGUUUUAUGGUAAAAAAUAUUAUACCAUGAUACUCCAGUUCAAUCUGAAAUAGCUAAUAAAAACUCAAUUUUCAUUAUCUGUCACCUUUGCAUGUAAUUUAUUCUAUGUGAAUUCAUUCAAUUUCAAUUAACUCCACACGAUCUAGAUUUUGUGCCUAAGAACUAGAAUAAUUGAAAUUUUGGUUUUAAAUUUUUUCAAGGGCAGGUUACACAAUAAAAUUUAUCUUAUUUCUUCUCAUAACUCUCUAUUUCUUUGAUUAAAAAAAUAGAGAUUUUAUUUGAAUUUUUUUUUUUUUUUUUGCAGAAAUAUGAAAAGGAGUUGCUUAUAGCAAGAGCUAUUGGCUUAUAGCCUUACAGCAAUGGAGUGUCUGCGGAGUCGGUAUUAAUUUAUGCCUAAUUGCACCGCAUACAGUUCCUUUAACUACAUUUUCUAAACGAAUCAGGGCUAAUCUAAGUUGAUCUUGUAAGAGAUUCGCUAUAGAAUGAAUACGCUUAUUGUUCAAAUGAUUCAUAACGUCAAAUAUACCCAUUCCAAAAUAUAUUUCAAUCAAAUGAUUUGCAGCUGCCAUUAUAUCUCGCGGAAACAAAAAUGUAUUGUUUUUCCUGUUUACUUUCUUCAUUCGGGAGAGGCUCGCUUAUCUUCAUUUGUAUUGAAUAAGUUUAGAUAAACAUCCAAUCAAUGUUCCACUGUUUUUAGCUUCCUGCUUCAUUCACCUAACCCUUUUAGCUUUUCAAUAUAGUAUGAUUAGUCCUUUUUGACACACAAUUCGUCGCCAUAUACUUUCUUCUUGAAAUGUAAAAUGUUGUCCGAUUUCGCUCGUCCUUGGAGUUCCAUGGACGGUUUAAAAAGAAAGUGUCAUGGGCACAUUGUGCAGAAAAGCAGAGCUGUUAUUAUGUUUAUUAAAUGUAUACAACGUGAAUGGCAACAAAAAAAAAACUGUAUAUAGAGUGAAUUGUGAUGUGUCUGCAUCAAAUUUAAUGGCCCACUGCAAAGAAAACAUAUUACUACUGGAUGGCACUAGCAAAUUAACUCAACAAAAUUAAUGCAAUCAACUUCAAGCAUGCUGAGCUUUAGAUUUGUCCUCCUUUGUCGAUUGGGUUAAGGUGAGCACUGUCACCAUGGUGGAUAUUCGAUCCAUAUGGGUUUGAAUAUUCCAUUAGUGGUUUAAUACUGUGAUCAAUUUUAUAAGAUGUUUUGGAUUAAAAAGUGAAACCCAAACGAGAUCAAAACCAUAUUUCAGUUAAAUAGUUACAAUUUACACAUUGCUAGCUCUAGCUUAUUGCUAGAUCGCCAUAUAAUAGCAACGCACGUCAAGAUUAAGGCAUUGGGAUUCGUAGAUAGCAAACACCUGCUAUAUUUACAUUUAAGUCCAGCAUAUCUAACAGGUUGGUGAGACUUAGCAAAUCUUAAAUUAUGCGAUUAACGUUUCAACUUUCACACUUAUUUUGGUCUUUUUUAACAGCGCCUGGGGUGCACUUUGACCUUCAGAGGGUUAGCCAUUUCGCAGGAGAGCCUAAGCAUUUCGGUGAGAUCAACCGGAUUAUCAUCUGAUUGCAUCCACUCGAACUCAUGCAACAAGAAGCCGACCCAGAAGCUAACAGUGGCCAAACCCAAAGUCUUUCCAGGGCAAGUCCUACGGCCUGACCCGAAUGGAGCCAACCUGAGGUCAGACCCCAACACAGAGAACUCCACAUCAGCACUGUCCUUGGACACGAAUCUCUCUGGCAUGAACUUGAGUGGGUCUAUCCAAACAUCUGGGUCCCUGGUGAUGGCCCACAUGUUAACCAUGGCUGUGGUCCCAGGAGGCACGUGAUAUCCAUCAAUAGUAGUGUCUGUGAUUGCCAAACGGGCCCAGGAUAGAAGUGGGCCAGGUGGGUGCAGCCUAAGAACCUCCUUCACCACUGCUGGCAGGUAAAACAUCGAUAGAAUGUCUGAUUCCAUCAACGGCCGUGAUUUCCCAACAACUUGAUCAAGCUCGGCCUGCACUUUGGAUUGGAUUUCAGGGUGAAGCACCAUUCUCGCCAAUAUCCAUUCUAUUAAAACUGCCACAGUAUCGGUUCCUCUAAAUAUCAUCUCCUGUGCAAUGAGAAUAGCAUGAUUAAAAACAAGCAGUUAAUUUUCUAAUCAAAGAGAAUAAUGCUUCGUUUGUCGCUAAGAAAUUCUUGAAAAAUCUAAGGAAAUAUAUAGGAUGAAAUAAUAGAAAAGUCGUUAAAUUUUAUCAUUUUAUUUAAAUAAAAUUUUAAAUUUUAAUUUGUAUUCAAAUAAAUUCAUAAUUUUUAAUUUGUAAAUGAAUAAAUCUUUAAUAUAAAUCAAUUUUUAUUUAAAAUAAAAAUUUAGUUAAAUACAAAUAAAAUAUUAAUAAUUUAUUUAGAUACAAUAAAAAUAUAAAAAUUUAUCAAAAUAAAGUAAUUAAAUUCGGAGAUUCACUAAAUAUAUAUUAUCAGAAUCUAAUCAACAAACCGAUCCCAAAUCAUUAUCAGAUUACAUCUUUGAUUCUUUUCCCAUGCAAUUUCACAUGUAGAAAACAUCACGCAAGAGAACAAAAACAUGCAUAUAAUAACAAAUUGGUUUUCUUUAUUAAUUAUUAUCACAUUAAGUUUGUUGCUUACCCAGAGAACGGCAAUCAUCUCGUUGUCCGAAAGUCUAUCGGGUCCAUUGAGAGAAAGUAAAACGUCCACAAAAUCAUGGUUUCUUCUUCCCGUUUGGAGUUUAUGUUCUUGAAUGAUUCUGUUCACAAAUUUGUUCACUUUGGGAACAAGUUCUGAACAUCGAAGCCGGAUUCUUUGAAGGUCUAAACGAGCAAGCCAUGGAAGAUGAUCAGACCAAUUGAGCUUCCCUAGUAGGUCGUAACCUUCUUCAACGAGCUGGCUGAGUUUUUGAGUUUCACUAUUUGAUGAGCCCAGUUGAUAUUUACUACCGAACACUGAGCACAUCAUGUUGUUGAGGGAAGCUUUCUUGAUUAUAUCGCGUACAGAGAACUCUCCACCACGACAUGCCAUUAUAGAAACCAUUUGGGAGGCGAUACCGAACCUCUGUGCCUCGGUGGAGCUGAUUUGUUUAGGAGAAAAGAGAUGUGUUGCGGCAAUUCUUCUUAGAGUUCGCCAGUAAACCCCGUAAGGAGCGAAGCCAAUCGCUCUGUUGAACAUUAAACUAUAUGCUGACUCUUUCACUGGACGAUCAGCAAAAACGGAACUGUUAAGAAUCUCUUUGGCUACAUCAGGGUUGCAUGUAAUGAUAACCCGAGUAUCACCCAAGCUAAAGGCCAUGAGCCGCUUAGCCCCAAAAGACUUGGCAGCAGCAGAAAGCUUGCGGUGAGCCAGGUUAACCAUGAGGUUCAUGCUUCCAACAACAGGGAACCCUCUUGGCCCUGGAAUGAUAUUGUUAUUGAGUUUUGUGGCUGACCUUUUCCGCAGCCAAAAAUGCUUACCCCAGGCAGGGCCUCCAGGGUAGAACCAGAAGCACAGAGACAUGGCCAGCCAAGCCAUGCAAAGGAAAAGAAGAAGCAAAAUGAAGUUUUGCGAGGAGAAAGUUUUGCAUUUGGAAGCAACAAACAAAACCCAGAAGCAAUCAGAGAAUGUUUCCAUGGAGAAAGGAAUUAUAAAAUGGGUAUUGAUGGAUGGAUGUUUGUUUGAGUGGGUUUAGUUUUCCUUUUUGGGUUAAACUAUGAGAUGGGAGGUUUGUUUAUAUAGAGAUUUUUGUGGACUGUAGAAGUAAAGGUUAAACAGCCUAGGGCUUUAAUGAGUUAUAACGGAAAUAAACAAAAAUCAAAAGUUUAAAAUUGAAAUAUCAAUUUGCGCCGCCACCAGCACUAAUAACCGAAAAUGAGAUUUGAGAGCCCAUGCCCCAUACUCAUUUCAGCUAGCAUUUUUUUUUUUUGGAAAAAAAUCAACAAAAUAUGUGGAAUUAGCUGUCAUCUUUUUCCAUAGCUAUAGCUAUCAAAUUAAUAUCAACAAAGCCUACUAUUAGUAUAUUACUAUAUUCUACAUCAGCAGCCCAUCAAUUGGCUUUUUGAUUUGCAUCACUAUCAGAAUUUAGGCAUCUUGGCUCUAGUGGUCUGAGCUACUCUACCUCCAGGCAAUAUCACUUGAUUUUAUACCCUAAUUUUAAACUGCACUAUGUACGAAAGUAUACUUAUAUAUAAAUAAGUAUAUAUAAUAUAAAUUUUCUUAAAAUUAUAAUAUUUAUUAACAACUCAAAAAAUAUAUAUAUAUUUAAAGUUAUAUAAUGUCAAACAUAAUAAAAUCUAAUAUAAUAUUUGCUUUGAACAUAAUACUUUAACAUAUAGAAUGAAAUUAAAAUUAAAAUAUCAAAAUAGACAUUUAAUAUCUUUUACUUAAAUCGUACAAAAAAAACAAUUAAUAUAUAUGGAGGGGUAGGCUUUAAAAUUAAAAGUUAUAUCAAAGUAUAGGAAAAAUAAAGAAAUGAUUAAGUUCCGGAAUAAUUUUGUUGUUUAAGAUUUAUUUUUAAAUGAAAAUUUUGAGAGAAUCAAUCCCAACUUAUAUGCUAGAAACAAAGUGGAUAAUUCUUCUAGUAAAGCAUGACUAAGUAUUUUUUUUUUUUUAGUUAAACCCCUAUUAGAUAAUGCUAGUUUGAAGUCGUACCAUGUACAAGUAUAUAAUUAUAUUAAAAAAUUAAUUAUAAUAUAAGUAAUAAACUUUAUAUAAGAGUAAUUGUUUUUUAAAGUUCACAUGCAUAUAAACAUUUUUUAUUUCAAAUGAAAUAAGAAAUAUUUAUCACAAUUAUGUUUACUUAAAAUACAUAAACUAUUUAAAAUAUAUAAGUUCAUUCGAAAUGUUGCACAAAAAAAAAUAACUUUUCAAUGUUUUACAAAUUUUCAAAUAUAGAAUGAAUAAUAGUAUUAGAAAAAAAAGUUAAUAAAUUGGAGAAUGGUAGAAAGCUACAGUCAAUGCGUAUAAGAUAAUAAAACGAAUUAUAUAACAAUUCAAUGUAUUUAAACUUAUUCACGUCAUACUUGUGUAAAAAAAUAAAAAAAAUUUUAUAUGAAAUUAAAUAAACAAUUACAAUAGCAAAAAAAUAAUUAAUAAUAUGAACGCCUUUUAAUAUAAAAUAGGCAAAAGGGUAAAAAAAAAUUCCCUAAACUAAAAUUCAAGCCCUUAUUUUUUUCAAUUAAUUAAACCCUCAAACAUUUAUUUUUAUUAAUUGAGUAAUUGUCAGAGGAAAAAUAGUUAAUUAUUUUCAUCCAAUCAAGGGUUUAAUUGAGUAAAAAUAGAUAUAUAAAGAUUCAAUUGGAUAAAAAUAAAUAUUUAAGAAUUUAAUUGAUUUGAAAUAAAAAAAUGUAAGACUUAAUUGAUUGUAAUAAAAUAUCAAUGACUUAAUUGAUUAUUAAAUUUUUGUUUUGAGAACUUUUUUAAUCUCAUGCAUAUAAAAUAUUGUUUCCUUUGAUAUAAAAAACUAAAACAAUAAGUUUGCUUGGUUGAAGAUUGAAGGUGUUCCUAUUCAUGGUUGGUGCUAUGACUUAUUAAAAAGAAUUAGGAACUUAUGGGGAAAUUUCAUAUCAUUGGAUGACAGCACGUUGCAUAAAAGGAGGCUGGAUACUGCCAAAGUUUUAGCCUAAUCGAGAAAGAUUGUCCUCCCCGGAUCAAAGUUGAGGUAAUUAUUAAAGGGUACCCUAAAUCAGAGUUACCAUUGAGGAAGGUCCGGACUUCCUUUGGAAUUUCGGUGUUAAAAUGCUGUUGACAGGUAAUCUUCAACAAUCUCCUUCAAGUUCAAAGUUCAAUAAAUAAAUCUUUCUCAUACAAAGGUGUAAAUAUCUAUAUGUGUUUGGGAUCAAUUGUUAUUUAUUAUUAUUAUUAAUUUUGAUUUUGAAACGUUAAAAAUUAAAAAAUAUGAGAUUCUAACUCUCGAUUGAGGAUAACUUUUUGAGUAUGAGAUUUUAAUUUUCGAUUAAGAAAAAUUUUCAUGACAAAAGCAAAAAGUUUUGGGUUAAGAAAAAUAUUUAAAAUGAGAUUUGUAAAAGUAUUUAGCUUUAAUUAGAGAGUAAAACCUUUUUCAAGAUGAGAUGUUUUUAGUUCAAAAAAAUGAUUUUUAAAGUUUCAAAACUUUUAUUAAGGAAAAGUUUUUCCAAAGAAAAGAAAUGAUUUGUAAGAAAAGAAAAACAAAAGUUCAAAAAAAAAAUAAGACCUUUUGAUGAGAUUUUAAGCCUCGUAUGAAGAAAACUUUGCAAAGAUAAAGUUUGAAAUAUUUGGAUGAUUUCAAAAAGAGUUGGUAAAUCUUGGCUAAGGAGCUUUUUCAGUUUUAAAGUUUUAUAACCUCUAUUUAGAGAUUUUUUUUUUUUUUAACCAUAAGAUGAAAAUCUUUGAUGCGAAUUCUCGAGACAUUGAAUUUUAGAUUUGAACUUUUUAAAUAAAAAUAUUUGAAUUUUGGAUAUGAAUCUUUAAUAUUUUCAAAUGUGAAUAUUUGAAUCCUUAAUGCGAAUCUCGAAAAAGUAUGCAAAACUUGAGAAUCUUUCGGUGAGAAUCUCAAAUUUUCAAUUUGAAUAUUUGAAUGAACCUCUAAUCUCCUUCAGAUAAGAAUUUUUUUUAUAUUUUUAAAAUUGUUGAGCUUUUUGUUUAAAGAAGUAUUUAAGUGUUGGGAUUUAUAAGAUCUUUGAGCAUAAUCCCUAAGUCCUCUGGAAAAGAUUAGUAAGUCUUUUGAGCUGAAUUUGUUUUCAUGUUGAAAUUAGUAAGACCCACAGCCAUAAUCUCAAGUCUUUUAGGCAAGAUUCGUAAGUCUUUCGAGCUGAAUUUGUUAAGCAAAAGUGAUAAUAUAUUUAUAUUUUUUAGAAGUUGUUAAGCCUCUGUUGAAAUAAAUUUUUUAUAUUUUUCAAAAAUGAUUGAACCUCUGUUGAUAAGAUCUUUUUAUAUUUUAAAAAGCUAUUGAGCUUUUGUUUAGGAGAACUUUUUAUGUUGUUCAAAAAGUCUGAGUUUCUAUUUAAAAGAGUUUUUUUUAAAAAAUAUCAAGUUGGUUAUUCAGAUGUAAUGGAUAUCUAUGUCUUUGCACAAUUCAUAUUUCACAGAAAAUAUGUAAAAAGAGACAGCUGUAAAUACUAUAUUUAGUUUAUGAUAUUUUUUUAUUUAAUUUUAGGAUUUUAGUAUUUUGUUUAAUUUAGGAUUAUUUAUUUUGUUAAUUAAUUGAUUUAUAGUUUAAAAAAAAAAAGAAAAAAAGAAAAAAAAGAAAGAGAUUGAUUUGGUUUGAAGUCUACUGUUCUAAUUGAAAAAAAUGUAUUGGGUUAAAAGGUGGACUUAGAUUAAAAAUCUAAAAUUAACUUUGAUUAAGAGAUUGAAACUAAAAAAAUCUUUUCCUCUUGUGAUUUGGAUUAAAGGCAUAUAAAAGGAUCUCAUGAGGAUGAAUCAAGAAUCAAUCAAAAAAAUCAAAAAAGAAAGAGUAAAAAUAAAGCAGAAAAAUUAAGAGUUUUUUUUUUUUUUAGUUUUUGUUAGUGUUUUAGGUUUAGAUAAUUAAAAUUUUCUUUUCAGAGUUUUACGUUGGGGAAAGAAGUUAAGAAAAAACACAAUUAUAAAGGCUUACGUGCUUUGGAAUAAAUUAUGACUCAAUUUUUACUAUUUAUAUUUUACUUGUCUUUUUUUUAAAUUCUAGUUAUCUUUUGUGUUUUAUCAUAAUUGUCUAUUUAUUUGUUUGUUUGUUUUAUUUAGUUUGACUAUUUAUGUAUAAUUUUUAGGAAAAAUUAGAAAGUAUUUACAAAAAAAUAAAACAAAAUAAAAAAUUAAUAAAAUUUUUGAGAAUUAAUAAUAAUUAUCCAAGAAUGAAAUUUUUAGAAAUUUCAAAUGAUAAAUUUUUUAAGAAAUUUCUAGGUGAAAUUUUUUUAAAAAUUUAUCCUAAAUGGAGAAAAAUUUAGAUAAAGUUUUAAUAAUAAUAAUAAAUAUUUAUUUUUAAUUUUUAAAAAAUAUAAAAAUAUGUAUAUAGGCAAAUUUAAUGAAUUUUGAGAAUAAAUACUAAUUAUUCAAUGAUGAGAUUCUUAGAAAUUUUAAAUAGUAAAUUUUUUAAGAAAUCUCUAGGUGAGAAAUUUCUCUAAAUUUGUCUCAAAUGGUAGAAUAAUUUAGAUUAAAUUUCAAUAAAAAAUUGUAUUCUUUUUUCAAAUAAAAAUUAAGAAUAAGACAAAAAAAUUGGGAGAAAAUAUUUGACAAUCAUCCAAGGAUAAAAUCUUAAGAAAAAUCACAAAUGGUUGAAUUUUCAUAAGAUUUCUAGCUAAAAAGGUUUUUUUCUAAAUUCAACCUAAAUAGUGGAAGAAUUUAAAUGAGACUUUAAAAAAAAUUGUCAUAUUUUUUUCUUCCAAAGAUUAUGAAACUUGUAGGAGAUUUUUUUAAAUAAACCCAAACGGUGAAAAAUUUAGAAAUAAAACUUGUAAAAUAAAAAAUAAAAUUUCGAUGAUGAAAUUCUUAAUAAUCGCAAAAUGAUGAUUAUCUAAAAUAUUUUUAUGUAAGAAAAUAUUUCUUAUUUAAGUCCAAGUGUGAGAAAAUUAGAUAUAUUUACAACAAAACAAAGUUAAGUUUUUUCGGUGACGAAGUCUCUUUAAGAAAAUAAAUGAGAUUUUUAAAUACUCUUAAGGUAAGAAAAUAUUUUUUAAAAAAUUCUGCUAGAUUGAUAGAAAAUCUUAGCAAUUAUUUCUAAUAUUUAAAUGUUAAAAUAAAUAUUAGUAGAACAUAAAUCCUUAGGAUAACUUAAAUUAAAAUGGUAUCAUUUUUUAGGAUGGGUAUUGUAAAGGUGCUAUAACCUUCCCUAUAUGUAAUCAAACUCUCAAACCCUAUUGUGAUUAGUAGACCAAAAUAUUUGUUUAGAGAUCUUUAGUCAAGUUUAGGACAUUUUAAAAGGGUAGAUUCAUCUAAGUGGCCAAUCACACAUUAGUAAAAGAUUAGUGACAACUUCUUAGAUUGCGUCUAGUUAUAGAUUUUCAUAUCUAUAAGUUAUGCUAGUUUAACAACUCCACUGGUCAAAAUUCUUCCAAAAAGAAUUUAAUAGACUCAAAAGAGGUAACAAAUGGACUUAAUCAGUGAAAUUUUUUUUUACAAAAAAAAAGACAUAUAGAAAGAUUGAAAUAAUAAAAAAGGUAUAGAAACAGACCAUCAGGGUUAACUAGGGGAGGCUUACAUAUGAUGUUACUUUGGAAUAUUUUAUGUGACGUGCAAGAAAGAGUAAGGACAUUGUGUUUCCUAGAGACUGAAGAAUUGACCAUUCUCCAAAGCCAACUCCCCAAGAUCCUUUGCUAAAGGUAGAAAUUGCAAAAGAAAAUUCUAAACUACGAGAGGUUAGCUUGAAUAAAAACAUAAGCGAUUGAAGGACAAAAUGAGAGAAAGUUUGAAGCUGUAAGAACUGAAAAUCUAGAGCAUCAGUAAGUAAAAAAAAUAAUGGAAGGCUUUAUUCAAUAAUUUAGAUAAGACACACUCAUCGGUUACACUCGAGCUUGCUUGACUUUUAAAAAAAAUAAAUUAUUGAAAGUAAGGGUAAAAAACUGACAAAAGGCCACUGCUAGGGCACACAAACAUAACCAGAUGGUAGAAAAGAUAGUGAAAUAGUGCAUAGUACUGGUAGGAGCUUUGACUAAUGAAUGCAAGAAACAUGUUAAACAAAGUGAGUAAUGGAAAGGCAUAUGCACGAAAAAAUAAAAACAUCUAAGGCAUCUCUUUGAUCAACUAUGCAUGGUUGCAGACAAAGCAACAAAUAUGGAGAAAAUGUGGAAGAAUUGAUGGCAAUAGUGCAACCAGUAAGAGAUCAUGGGUGGCGAUUGUUUGACUUCCUAGAUGAUGCACAAGAUCAUUACCAGCAAGCUAGAAAGUUCAUAAAAAGGCAUUAGAAUAAUGUUUAGGAGAUAUUAGAAUUGAUGUUUAGGAUGUUAGAAUACUGUUUUGGCUUUGUUAGGAUGUAGUUUUGAAAUUUUAUUUAAUAAAGUUUCGAAUUAAGAUUUCUUUUAUCAAUAAAGCUGAGACACCCCAUUUAGUCAGGGUUUUUUUUAUUUAAUUUUAAGAUUUUACCAUUUUUUUUAGUUUAGGAUUAUUAUUUUGUUAAUUGAUUGAUUUAUGAUUUUUUUUAAAAAAAGAAGAAGAAGAAAAGAAAGAGUUUGAUUCGGUUUGGUGUUUAGUGUUUUAAUUGAAAAAAUGUAUUAGGUUAAGAGGUGGACUUAAUUUAAAAUCUAAAAUUGACUUUGAUUAGGAGAUUGAAACCAAGAAAACCUUUUCAUAUUGUCAUUUGAAUUAAAGGCCUAUAAAAAGACCCUAUGAGGAUUAAUCAAGAAUUAAUCAAAAAAAUCAAGAAAAAAAGAGUAAAAAUAAAGCAAAAAAAUUGAGAUUAUUCUUUAGAGUUUUCUAGUGUUUUGAGUUUAGAUAAUUAAAAUUUUCUUUUAGGAGUUCAUUGUUGGGGAAAAGAGUUGAGAAAAAACACAAUUACAAAGACCUGCGUGCUUUGGAAUCAAUUGUGACUUAAUCUUUGGUAGUUACUUUUUACUUGUCUUUUUCUUAAGUUCUAGCUAUCUUUGUAUUUUAUCAUAAUUGUCUAUUUAUUUAUUUAUUUAUUUGACUAUUUAUUUAUAAUUUUUAGGAAAAAUUAGAAAGUAUUUACAAAAAAAAUAAAACAAAAUAAAACAUUAAUAAAUUUUUUGAGAAUAAAUAAUAAUUAUAUAAGGAUGAGACUUUUAGAAAUUUUAAAUGGCAAAUUUUCUAAGAAAUUUUUAAGAGAAAUUUUUCUAAAUAAAUUUUUCUAAAUUUUUCCCAAACGGAAGAAAAUUUAGAUAAAGUUUUAAUAAUAAUAGUAAUUAAUAUUUAUUUUUAAUUUUUUUAAAAAAUAUAAAAAUAUGUAUAUAGGCAAAGUUAAUGAAUUUUGGGAAUAAAUACUAAUUAUCCAAUGAUGAGAUUAUUAAAAAUUUCAAAUAGUAAAUUUUUUAAGAAAUCUCUAGGUAAAAAAUUUAUCUAAAUUUAUCCCAAAUGGUAGAAUAAUUUAGAUUAAAUUCCAAGAAAAAUAAUUGUAUACUUUUCCCAAAUAAAAAUUAAGAACUAAAAAAUUUGGGUAAAAAUAUUUAACAAUUAUCUAAGGAUAAAAUCUUAAGAAAAAUCACAAAUGGUUGAAUUUUCAUAAGAUUUUUAGGUAAAAACUUUUUUUCUAAAUUCAACCCAAAUGGUGAAAGAAUUUAAAUGAGACUUGCAAAAAUAAUUGUCAUAUUAUUUUCUUUUCAAAGAUUAUGAAACUUGUAGGAAAUUUUUCUAAAUAGACCCAGAUGGUGAAAAAUUUAAAAAUAAAACUUGUAAAAUGAAAAAUAAAAUUUUGAUGAUGAAAUUCUUAAUAAUUACAAAUGAAUGAUUAUCUAAGAUAUUUCUAUGUAAGAAAAAGUUUCUAAUUUAGGCCCAAAUGAUUGAAAAGUUAGAUAUAUUUGCAACAAAACAAAAACAAAUGAUUAAGUUUUUCCAAUAACGAAACUUCUUCAAGAAAAUAAAUGGGAUUCUUAAAUACUCAUGAGGUAAUGAAGUAUUUUUUUAAAGAAUUUUACUAGAUUGAUGGAGAAAUCUUAGCAAUUAUUUUUAAUAUUUAAACAUUAAAAUAAAGACCAUUAGAACAUAAAUCCUUAAGAUAAUUUAAAAUAAAAUGGUAUCAUCUUUUAGAAUGGGCAUUGUAGGGGUAUUAUAACCUUCCAUACAUAUAAUCAAACUAGUAAACCCUAUUUUGAUUAGUAAACCAGAACUUACUUUUUUAGGAAUUCUUAGUCAAUCUUAGAAUAUUUUUAAGAGGGUAAAUUCACCUAGGUAGCUAAUCGUACCUUAAUAAAAGAUUGGUGGUGACUACUUAAAUUAUGUCUAGCUAUAAAUUUUUGGAUUUAUACGUUAUGACAAUUUGAUGACUUCAUUGGAAACCUAUAGAGAGUCAAGCCAUAACAUUUUAAAUUUAUUAUAUUCUUUGAUUUAAUGGUCUUAAAAUGUAAAGAUUAUGUUAUUUGUUUACAAACAUUUUUUUGUCUUUUAUUUGAUUAAUGGGGGUUUGAAACCUAUGUGUUCCUUCACACAGACUAUUACAUACAUUUGCAUUACAUAAGCUUUAUUCUUGGGCUCCGUCCCUUUUAAGAGGGAGUAAAGUACCUACGCUUUCGUGAGAUGAUAAUCUUAGCAAUGACUAGUGAAAUACAACUACUCAAAUUGAAUCUUUUUCAUUGGUAGCCUUUGAUGGCUAAAGAUUAGAAUGCCUUACUAGUUUGUGAUAGACAAUGAUGUAAGGAACAAUUUAGGAACCUUUAGUGGUCAAAAUCACCUAGUCCUGCAUAUAAUCAAUACUUAAGAAGCCAACCUUAGGUUAGAGCUAUAUCUACCCAUUAUUAAAAUGUAACCCUACAUAGGACAUAUGAGUGGACUCUUUGAAUUUCAUUUGUAUCAAUUUUAUAUGAAAUUUUAUUUGAUCUCUUAUUUAUUGUUAAGUUGUUGUAUGUCAUAUUUUAAUACAACAUUAUUAACAUAAGCAUUCAUCUAUGCAUUAUAAUAUAACAAACAUUAGCAUAUGCAUUCAUUUAUCGAUUCAUACAUUAUUGUACAUACAUUUAUGUGUUUAUGUUUUAUAAUUUGUUAUAUCAAACAUUCAAUGCAUUUAUUCAUGAUGCUGAAAAUUUAUGUUUGAGAUGUAAGAGAGUAACUACAAUUUAAUAAUAGUAGAAUAUGAUUACUGGAUUAAAAUGGAUAAAGGUUUACCACUAAAACUAGACAUUAAGGGAUAUAAAAACAUCACACUAAGCAAUUUAAUCAAGGACACAGAACAAUAGAAGUUCACCACUUUAAGAAAUCUACCUAAGAGAUACAGAACUUAAAAAAUAAUCUAAAAGAUUGCUUAAGGAUAAAAAAAACUUUAUUAUGCUUUCUAUCAAAGAAUAAUAGAAAAUAUAUAAGCUAGAAAAAUCUUUCCAAGUAUGAGAACUUUCAAAUUGCAUUGCUAGAAUCAUGCCUAAAAUCAUGAGAUUUGUAUGUGAAUAUAAUCUGUCCAUUUACUUUUACAAAUUACAUGAUAAUGAAUAUGACCACAAUCCCAUCUAUAUUCAUGCUUUUCUUUUUCAGCUAAUGUAAACAUAAUUUUUCUAUUCUAGCUCACCUUAUUUAUGCAUUUAUUUAGUGAGUUUGGACCAAAGAUAGACCCAUCUUAUUUUUGGACAAGUUCUUCUUAAUCUCAACUUAAGUUAUAAGAUGUAUUGACACUCUAGUGUUAAUUUUCUCUAGUUAAAACAAACUUAUCCUCAAGUCUGAACUAGUAUUCUCGCCAUGAUAUGGUGACAAAUCAGCAACAUUAAAAGUAAAAGAUAAUUUAUAAGUGUUGGUAAGCUUUAUCUUAUAGGCAUUCUCUUUAAUGCGUUAGAGAACUCUAAAUGGACUAUCUGCCUUAGGUUAUAAUUUGUCAAACUUUCUUAGAGAAAAUCUCUUUUUCUGUAAGUUAAUCCACACCAAAUUACUUUCUUUGAACUUCAUAUGUCUUCGAUGCAUGAUUAUUACCCUUUUAUAUUUUUUAUUUUUUACAAAAUUUUAUUCUGAACCUAUUCAUGAAAAAUUUUGAUACUCUUGGCUCUUUCUCUACAUCUUCAUCAAAAUACUGGUUAGUAUAAAGUUGAAUUAAAACUAAAUGAUAAAUUACAUUCUUACCAAGAAUAAUUUCAAAAAGGCUAAUCAAUGGUUUGACUUGAUGAAUGGUUGUAGGCAAACUCCACUUGUCGUAAAAUAAGUUCUCAUUGUUUUAGUUUCUUUCCCACAUAACUCUUCAAGAAAAUUUCUACCUUGUUGGGUAAAACAACUUAUGGGAUAAGGUUUAUGUAGUGUUAAAUGUCCUUUAUUGGUGGUAAACCAACUGAUAACUUUUCUUGAACAACAUCUUAAAAUUCUAUCAAUAAUGGUUGUAUUACUACAGAGGGCUCUUCACUAUCUUUAUUCUCCUUAGUCAACACCGGUGCAUACAUAAUACAGCCCAUCUUAAUUUUUUUUCUAUAACUGUCCUUGGUAAACAAGUUACUUUUUUUUUUUGGUUGGUUUUGACAUCAUCAUGGGUUUGGUAGGGCCUAGGAUGAUUUUGUAUCCAUUUUUUAUAAAUGUGUAAGUGUUACGUUAACCAUCAUAAAUAACCUUUUUAAUCAUAAUACCAAGGUCUUUCGAGCAGUAAAUGGCAAGCAUCCAUUGGAGUUACAACACACCACACUUCACCCUUGUAUUGUUUCCUAUAAAAAAAAAGAACCAAACACCUUUUAGUAAUCUUAAUUUUUUUUUUUUUGCAGCCAAGAUAAUUUAUAUGGUUGGAGGUGAUCCACUACUUUGAAGCGUAAUUUCUGAACCAUAAAAUAGAAAUAAUAUUUUUAAAACUUUCACUAUCAAUUAUAACAUCACAUACCUUCUCAUGGGCAGUAUACCAAGUAUGAAACACAUUUUUUCGUAACCAAUCUUCUUCCUUAGCAGGUGUGGUACUCAAACUACAUUAUAUGACUAAGGAUGCUCCAUAAUCAUCAUAGGUUACCUCUUUCUUCCCUUCAAGGUUUUGAUUCUUUUCAGCUAGCUUUUCUUUAUUUUUUUUAAAUUUUUCUUCUACUAAAGCUACAAUCUUCCUAUUUGGGCAUUCUGAGACAAUAUGUCUAGGCUUUUGACAUUUAAAACACCUUUUGGUUUAUUCACUAGACUGAGUCUUCUUUUAUUGUCUCUUUACCUUAACAGUAAGCUUGCAUACAUUAUUGAAAGUCUAAUAGGGUUAUAGUUGCACCACAUUAGCUAUUUCAAUUUUCAAUCUUCCAAGAUAACAGAUAAUAGUCUACUUCUUCUAUUCCACCAAUUUGUAUUUUAAAAUGCUUGCCCUAUCCAAAGACCUAUGAAAGAUUGAUCCUGUUGCUUUCGUUUCUAUUAAAGAGGGCACGAUGAAACUUCAACUCAAUCUCUUGAAAAGAGAAGAGGACAGGUUUGAAGUGGGACUAGAUCCCUAAGCCCAAGGAACUAGUAUUCUGGAAUGAAACUACGGAGUCCCUCUUCUUUCAAUUUUUGCUCCUUGGAUUGGAUAGGUAUCGUUAUUACUUACCUUUUCGUCACAGUUAAAUGAUAGUCGGAGUCAAGAAAGUAAUCCAGUGAGAGAGAAGAAGAUGAAUGUGCCAUUUUCUAGGGAUGGGAAAUUCUAUGGAUGGAAAAUUUGAUAAUCAUAGGAUAUCAAAAGUAAAUAGCAAUAUCCCUUCGUCAUAAGUACUCUAUGAAGUGGUCAAACUCAAUUGUAUACUCUUUUACUUAGAGAUUUCUUUACUACAAGUUAUGGAGCCUAAAGAAGACAUCUUGCUAAAAGUUAUUUGAGAGAUACUUUUUUUUCAACUAUCUUUUCAUCUUUUCUUAAGUUGUAAUUUUUCUCCUGCCUUAUCUUUUUCUUUUUUUUUUUUUAGAUUUUUCCAUCAAAAGGAUAUAUGCUUUUUGAGUGUAAUGGCCAUUAGCUUUACCUUGCGAUGUUCAGGGGCAUCAUAGUAUUCAAAUAUGUGUUUCACUGUGUGUAGCCAAUUUAAGAAGAUACAUACUUUUUGAGUUUGAUGGCCACUAACUUCACUUUAUGAUGUUCAGGGGUAUCAUGGUAUUCAAAUAUGCGUUUCACUGUGUGUAGCCAAUCAAAAAAUUUUUCAGGUUGCAUAUUUUCCUCGAACUCAAGAAUCUCUAUAUUCAUAUUGAAUAUGCUAGGUUGAAGUUAGUUUCUGCAUAGAUAAUCUUUGACUUACCAUGGGUGAAAUACGAUGUUAUCAUCAAAAUUAUUAUUGUUUUCAUGGUAUGGAUUAAUUUUUUUUCACCUUUUUCAUUCCUCUUUUAUUGUCUCCUUAUCUCCUCUUUUUUUUUGUAUAUGUAACUGAUGUUGUAGUUAAAUGAUCUGUUAUUACAUCUUCUCUAUGAGGGUAUCCAUUGAGUCAACAUUGGUAGUUGUUACAAUGUCAAUAUUGGCUUUAACAUCUUCUGUUGGUGCUUGACGAUGAUGACCUAUCAUAGCUCUUAUACCAAUUUGAUACUAAAAAUUGAUAUUUAAAAUGUAAAGAUUAACUGUAAAUAAAAAAUUCACAAAAAAGAUAACUCAAAAAAAUUGAAUAAUGGUAAAAAUGAUUAUUGGAUUAAAAAAGAUAAAAGUUUACCACUAAGAGUAAAUACAGAAACAUCACCCUAAGAAUUCUAAUCGAAGAUAUAGAACAAUAAAAGUUUAUCACUCUAAAAAAUCUACCUAAGAGAUACAGAACUUGAAGAAUAAUUUAAAAGAUUAUUUAAAGAUAAAAAAACUCUAUUAUGCCUUUUACCAAAGAAUAAUAGAAAAUAUAUAGGCUAAGAACAUCCCUCAAAGCAUAGAAACUUUCAUAUUGCAUUGCUAGAAUCGUGCCUAAAUUCAUGAUAUUUAUAUGUGAAUAUAAUUUGUCCAUUUACUUUUAUAGAUUACACGAUAAUAAAUCUAACCAUAAUCCUAUCCAUAUUCAUGCUCUUUUUUUCUAGCUAGUGUGAAUAUAAUCUUCUUAUUUCACCCCACCUUAUUUAUGCAUUUAUUUAGUGAAUUUAGACCAAAGAUAGGCCCAUCUUAUUUUUGGAUAAGUUUUUUUUAGUCUCAGCCCAAGUUAUAAGAUGUCUUGACAUUUCGAUUUCAAUUCAUUCAUGCAUAUAAGAUUCUUAAACAAGUUAGGUUAAUCUUGAAAAACUUUAGCAUAAAUAUUUAGUGAUAUGUGUAUGCUAACUAUGGUAUAAAAGGUUCAAAGAUAGUUCCACCAUAUAAAACCUCUUAUUUUUCACUAAUACAACACCAGAACAUGAGCUAUACUGAUGAAACAAGAAAACUCAAAUCAUUUUGACAAUAUUGAAAAGGCUCAAGAAGAACUCAAGGGAGAGUCGGAUAAAAUUUUGAAAGCUUUGAAUAAGUUGAAUAAAGGAAAGAAGGUGGAAGAAGUUUUAAGUCAACCUGAGCAUCUUGUGUAGAAUGUAAUUAAUUCUCUAUACCAUUUAAGAUUUAGCCUUGAUCAAGGCCAACCUUCUCAAAGCUCAUAAGUAAAUUUCCUUAGAGCCUAUCCAUACGCUAACCUAAGAAUGUAAAUUACUAUUACCCAAGGUCAGUUUCAAAGUUAUGUUAAUCCAAUCUUUAGAAAGAAAGCCUUAGAACUAAUCUAGGUCCUUAAUCUAGAUUAUCCAAAAGAAAAGAGAAGUUAAAGUUAAAAGUGAUCGAGUCAGUAAAAGACUCGAAGGCUAACCAAAAAAUGAAUAGGCUUGAGAAAAGGUUAUGAGCAACGAAAAAAAUUGAUUUCUAUGGUUCACUAGAUGCUGCUGGGCUUUGUUUAGUCCUAGAUGUUGUUAUUCCUUUAAAAUUUCAAGUUUAAGAGUUCGAUAAAUAUGAUGGUACAAAGUGUCUGAUAACUCAUGUUACCAUGUAUUACCAAAAAAUGACUGCUUAUACUAGUGAUGAAAAGUUCUUGAUACAUGUAUUCCAAAACAGCUUUACUGGUUUUACGAUGAGAUAGUAUGUUCAGUUGGAUUAGUCUCAUAUUCACUCAUAGCAGGAGCUAACCCGUGACUUUAUUAGUCAAUAUCAACACAUAAUAUAUUUAGCUAUUGAUUGUCUUUUUUUGUAAAACAUGAGAAAGAAAGACACUAAAAUUUUUAAAGAAUCUGUCUAAAGAUUGAGGGAUACUGUUGCCCAAGUUCAACCACUGUUUACUGACAAAGAGACCAUGAUUCUAUUUGUUAGUACUCUCAAAGCCCCAUAUUAUGAAAGGAUGAUUGAAAAUGCCACUAAGAAUUUACUGAUAUGAUGAUUUUUUAAGAGAUAAUAGAAAAUACAAUCAAGAAUGGCAAACUUAAAAGAAGUGGUACAAAUGAUGCAUAGAGAGAUGAUGUGCCAAAGAAGAAUGAAUGAUAUGUUCAAGUUAUGAUUUAUGAUGGGCAACAAGCUAGAGGCUUCACCCCAUGUCAACCUUAUUCAAUGUACCCACCUUAUUACCCUUUUAUAAAUAACUGCUUUUAAAAUCCUUAUCUUUGCCAACUUAUGCAACAAUUAGGUUUUCAUGCAAAUCCUUGUCCUCAAACAAUUGUUACCCAAUUUGGAAGCAAGUGAAAAAGAUUAAGGAAUAAUCAAGAGGGAAUUUCAAUCCAAAUUUCUAACCUCUUGUCUUUACUAAUAAAACACCAAUUCCUUACCUUUGUACUUUUAAAAACAACCCUAAAUUCAUUAACAAGAAGCUAUGAUCCAAAUAGUAGAUGUGAUUAUCACAUGUGGGUAAUUGGACACUCAACUAAAUUACGCAGGCAAUUGAAAGAGAAAAUCAAAGAACUUAUCAAUAAUGGCACUUUGACCACAGAGCUUAUAGAGCAAUGAAAAUCUAUUUUACAAUAGUUUUUCUUUUGAAUAUGAAGCACCAAAAAAUUUAUGUGAAGAUUUUAAAAUUUUGAGUUUGUUGUCUAUGUUUUGCUUUGACAUGUACAUAAGUUCUUGCUUUCAAUUUUGGUUGUAUAUGAAUUCUUGCAUUACAUGUGAAAAUAAUCUUGAGAGAAUUGAUAAUUAUUGUCAAGAAUGAACAUACCCAAUUGUUUCAUUUACCAUAUUAUACUCCAAUUCAAUUGAACACCAUACGAUUUUAAAGCCUAACUUCUCAAGUUUCACAAAUUUUAUUUUCACUUGAUCCAAAGGGAUUUCAAUAUUAAUAAUCUUUAUUAAGGUUAUGAACAAUGAAAUUUACAAAAUCUUUGUAAGUUAAUAUAUAAGGUACUCUUUUAAAGAUUUUGGAUUUAGGUAAUUUGAUAAAUGUUAAUACUAUUCUAAACACAUUACUACCCAUGUUUCUUCACAAAUCUUAACCUCUUUAAUUUUUUUCUUAAAGCAUAAUUAUUGAUAGGCUAUAUCCAUUUAAUAUCCUUAUUUGACAUCUUGAUUCCUUCUCUUUUCAUUGUCCUAAAAUUUUUUUUUCCUACAUCUUGAGUCAAAUUUACCAAAAACCAAAUUAUCAAAAUUUUCCAAUAUAUUUGAUAUGGUUGGCCUUCAUUUCAUCUCUUAUUGAAUAGAGAUUAAAUGAACACUUGGAUGGGUUCUAAAAAUGAAGAUUGUUACAUUGGGGUCUUAUUUAAUGAACUUGAUUUGCAAAAGAAGAAAAGAACAAAACAAAAAUAAUAAAAAAUAAAGCAAAAAAAAAGAAUUAAUUAUAACAGCAUGCAAAUAAGAUACUCAAACGAGUCCCAAAUCAAAAAGAAAAAUCAAUUCUUAAUAAUUGUUUUUCAGUGAAGGUGUCCAUAUUUGACAUAAUAAAUGUUCAUCUUUCAUAUUCCUUUCAUGAAAAUAAAAUAUCAAUUUGCUACACCUUUGAGCUUGUUAAAUUUUUUUUAGAAGAACUCUAACCAAGGAUUAUCCUCCACACUGGAAGGCAAGUAUAACAGAAGAUUUAUUUAAAAAAACACUAGAUCCAAAGUUAAAGACAAGGAAAAAAUGCCUACAAUCAAAAGGCAAGUUCUAAAAUUUUGGGCAAUGAAACAUGAAGAAAAAAGAGAAAAGAAAAAAAAUGAAAGAAAGAAAAAAAAGAUGGAAAUGUAAAAUGGAAAAUGUUAUUGAGAAAAAAAAUGAUCCUUGAUUUGAUUACCUUUAAACAUAUUUUUGGGCCUAUUUAUCCUUUUUUUCAGAACCUCAAACUCUGGUCUACGUUAUGUCAUUUGAAAAACUUAUUUUGGUCAAGUGUGGAUAUUUAAACUACAAAGCUUUUCUUUAGGAAAUCGCCAUUACUUUUUUAUUUUGAAUGAAUUUUGAGUUUUUAAAUGCAUGAUGAAAUAGUAAAAAAAAAAGAUUGAAUAAAGCUUUAAGGUAAAAACUCAAAAAGGCAAUCUAAAGCAUAAUUGAAAGCCACUCAAGUAAUGUCAUUAAAGGAAGGAACCAAAUGAAAAUCUUUGGAAAAUUUGAAAAAAUAAACCCCAAUCUAAAAAUUUGUUUUAAAAUUUGAACCUUUCUUUCUUUCCCAUUGAGCCUAUCACAACUAGUCUUGACAUUUGUUAAAUUAUUAUAUCAAGAAAUUAAGGGAAUGCAAAAGUGGAUUGUGCUUUAAAAGAUGAUUUUUCAUUGGUGAACCCAAAUGAAGACAUACUGAUAUGUUUUUUCCUAUCUAGUGGCAAAAUCUCCUUUAAGAUCUUUGGUGUAUCGAACCAUUUUAUUCCCUUAAAUAGACCAAGUUAUGAUUCACUUUUAUCAUUCUAUGCAAUAAUCACCAAUUUUUAAAAGAUUCAAUCACAUGUUUUCAAAAGAACAUGCAUUUUUUUUUAUCAUAGAAUAAUUUUUUUAUUUAUCAUGAACAUAUUGGGGCAUUUGUUGUGAAGACAUUUAUAUUUGAAUUAACAUAAAUUGGUGUAGAUAAAAGAUAGAUGAUUUUAAAUCAUUAUAGUAAGAAUGACUUUUUGGAAUAAGGAGAAUGGUCAAGGUAGAAGGUUUGAAGAAGAUCCAUAGAUAAGAUAAAUGGUUUGAAAAAUGAAAUGCUUUGAGUCAAAACAAAAUGAUAGAGGAUUAUUUUGAAAACUAGCUUGUUAGCUAGUUCUAAAGCUCUGUGACAGAAAAUGAAAAAGGGCUUGAGGACUUAAUUACCAUAAUUAAAGAUUCAUGACAUUGAUUUUUGCAUUACAUGCAUGACAUUCAUCUCAUUCAUUACAUAUUUAAUUGACUUUGGAUUUUGAUUUUGAAAGGUUGAGAAUUUGGAAAUAUAAGAUUCUGACCCUUGAUUGAGGAGAAUUUAUUGAAUAUGAGAUUUCAAUUUUCGGUUGCGAAAAAAUUUUCAUGAUAAAAGUGAUGAGUUUUGGGCUAAGAAAAUUUUCAAAAUGAGAUUUGUAAAAGUGUUGAGUCUUGAUUCGAAGGUGAAACAUUUUUCAAGAUGAGAUUUUUUUAUUUCAAACAAAAUGAUUUUUUUUAACAUUUCAAAACCUCUAUCAAGGAGAAGCUUUUUCAAAGAUAAGAAAUGAUUUAUAAGACCUUCGGGCAUAAUUUGUAAGACCUCCAAGCAUAAUCUUCAAUAACUUCAAUCAUAAUAUUUAAGACCUUUAAGCAUAAUCUCAAAAAAAUAAAAGUUUUAAAAAAAAAUAAAACAUUUUAAAGAGAUUUUGAUCCUCAUGUGAGGAAAACUUUGCAAAGAUAAAGUUUGAAAUCUUUAAAUGAUUUUAAGAAAAAUUGGUAAAUCUUGGUUAAUGAGCUUUUCUAGUUUUAAAGUUUCAUAGCCUCUAUUUAGAAAGUUUUUUUUACCAUAAGAUAAAAAUCUCUUAUGCAAAUUAUUGAGACAUUGAAUUUUAGAUUUGAAUUUUUCAAAUGAUAAUUUUUUAAUCUUUAACGAAAAUUUCAAAGAAUUAUGCAAAUCUCGAGAACUUUUUUAUGAGAAUCUCAAAUUUUCAAUUUAAAUAUUUGAAUCAACCCCUAAUCUCCUUCAGAUAAAAAUCUCUUUUAUACUUUUAAAGUUGUGAAGCCUCUACUUAGAGGAACAUUUAAGUGUUAAGAUUUGUAAGACUUCUAGGCAUAAUCUCUAAGUCUUCCAGGCAAGAUUUGUAAGUCUUAUGAGCUAAAUUUAUUUUCGUGUCAAGAUUUGUAAGACUUCCUAACAUAAUAUCAAGUCCUUUAAGUAAGAUUCAUAAGUUUCCCGAGCUAAAUUUGUUAAGUAAAAGUAAGAAUAUUUUUCUAUUUUUCAAAAGUUAUUGAGCCUCUAUUAAGAUAAGCUUUUUAUAUUUUUAAAAGUUGUUGACCUUUGUUUAGAUGAGCUUUUUAUAUUGUUCAAAAAGUUUGAGUUUUUGUUUAAAAGAGUCUUUUUAAAAAAAUAUAUCUUGUAAGUUAUCCGGACAUAAUGAAUGUCUAUAUCUUUGCACAAUUCCUGUUUCACAAAAAAUGCACAAAAACUCGUAUUUGUAAAAUCUAACAUUAUAAUAAACAAUUGAUUUUACAACAAAAAUAAAAAUCUAACAUUAUAAUGUAUCAUUAAUCUUACAUAGAUAUAUAAAAUCAUUAUAUUGUUUAUAUAUAUUUAUAUAUAAAUAACAUCCAUUACUCAGUUGGAUAUCAUAUUUAAUCAAAUAUAAAUAUAUCAAAUAAUUGAUUAAGGAAUCAAUUUUUGAUCGUAAUUAUAGUAGUUAUUACAUUUUUUUAUAAUAUUUCUAAUUAGAUUUCAAUAGAAUUUUUUGAAUUUUUUAAAAAAGGUUUAACGACUGUAAUUAUAUUAUUUAUUAAUUCUUUAAAUCAUUAAAAAAUUAUUUGAUUAUAAUAUAUUAUUGAUUUAGCUUAGAUUUAUAAUUUAGGAUUUUUUAUUGGAAAUAAAAGGUAAGUUAAUUGAGAAUUUAAAAAUAUACAUAAUUAAUGCAUUGAAAUAUUUUAAAUUUUUCAUAAAAUCAAAUCAAAUCAUAUUAAUUUAAAAAGAAAUAAAUAUGAAUAAAUAUAAUUAAUACAGGACAUAUGAUGAUUGAUAAAGGUUAUCCACAUGUCAAUAUUGUAAGCAUCUAUGUUGGAUAUUUUCCUUUUUUGUCAAUUAAAGCUUUGACUUUUAUAUAUUUGUAUAAGAUAUAUAAGACUUAUAGUGUUAAAAAACGAAUAAAAAAUAGUAAAUAAAAUUAAUUAAGAGAGAUAUAGGCUAUUAAAAAUAAAUGUGAUUAAUUUAAGAAAAAUUAAAUUAAAUUAAGAAUUAAAAUCAAUUGAGAAAGAUUUAAUCUAUUAAAAGUAAAUUUAAUUAAUUUGGUUAGAAUCAAAUUAAUUGAGAGAAAAUUUAAGCUAUUAAAUAUUAAUGCAAUUAAUUUGAUAAGAAUCAAAUCAAAUUAACUCAAAUUGAAAACAUUAAGUAAUGGAUAUAUGAUAUUUAUUCAAGGCUAUCCACAUGUUAAAGAAAUUAUUUUAUUCACAUAGGAUAAUUAUCUUUUUUGCCAAAGAUUUUUUACUUUAAAAUUAAAAAUAAAUGUGAUUAAUCUAAUCAAAAUAAAAUUAAAUUAAGAAUUAAAAUUAAUUUAAAAAGAUUUAAUGUAUUAAAGUAAAUGUAAUUAAUUUAGUUAAAAUCAAAUCAGUUAAAAAUUAAAAUUAAUUGAGAAAGAAAUUUAAACUAGUAAAUAUAAAAACAAUUAAUGUAAUCAAAGUCAAAUCAAAUUAAAAUUAUUAAGUAAUGAAUAAAUGGUAAUUAUUUAAGACUAUUCACAUGUUAAAAACUUAGAUAUGGCAUAUGACAAUUAUCUUUUUAUCAAAAGUUUUGAUCUUUAUAUAUUUAUAUAAGAUUAUAUAAGAUUUUAACUAGUAAGUACCACAUUAUUUACAUUAAUGAUAAUGAGAAAUUCAAGUGGCAUUAAAGAGUUCAAGAUAUAACAUCUCUUCUCAUCUAAGGGUUUUUAAUUUGUUUUUAUAAAAAGUAAUCUUAAUCGAAUUUGGAUAGUCAUUUUCAAUCCUUGGUUUUUUUUUUUUUUUUUUGCCAGAAAUUUCAAUCCUUGAUUUGGAAUUUUUUUUUUCAACUUGAUAAAUCAUUUGAAACAAUCUAAUAAUUUGUAAACAUGCCUUCUUCGACUUUGAUUAACAAUUAAACUCAAAACCCUAAUAAUAUAUGAUGUGAUAUAUUUUUGUGUGUGUAAUUAACAGGAGAGAUUAUUCAAGAAUAUUAUGACUAAAUUUAAAUAUAUAAAAAAUUAAUUUUAAUAAAUGGAUAUAUAAUAUAAUUUUAUAAAAUUUACAUUCCAACUUUUUGAUUCAAAUAAAUAGUUUCUUAUCCAAUAAUAAUUUUAUAUAUAUUUUAUCUCAAAACGUAACUUUUUAUUUGUUUAUUGUAACAUAAAAUCAUUUAUAUUUAAAAAAUAGUUGAAUUAUUAAAUAAUUUAUUAUUAAAAAAAAAUUAAGUGACAGAAGUUAAUCAGCACGCACUUUAAAGUGAGAAUGGCCCAAAGAUGAAUAACCAGAAGGAUCUUUGAUGUUAGGGGACCUUUUUUCAAGAGAAAGAAACAAUCUUUGGCAGCUUGAAUAAAAGUUACUUGACGUUAACAUAAUACCACGUCCGGUGACGAUGCUAUCGUGUCUCUCAAAUGAUCCCACAAAUAUGAAAGGACUAUUACUUAUAAAUUUUCUAUUAUAAUAUUAUAAUUAUUCAAUACGUGGAUUUAGGCACUAGCCCAGAGCAGCGAGUAGCCAAAGCCCACGUGGACCAUAUCGAACGCCACGUGUUCCAAGCAUUCUUAAUUUUCCUUCGCUUUUCCUCAUGCACUAAAGCCCCUGUUCAUGACUCCACGCGUCCAAGUUCCCAUGAAAAGGGCAUUAGGCUUUACGACACCUGCCCAUUGUCGCUUUUCCCCUUGUUUUGUCUCAAUCAUGCGCCCUUAAAGGGCAAGGGACAUUGUUGUCAAAUUCAAACAUAGGACAACACAAAAUUAAUAAUCCAAGGACCAGUCCGAGAGACUUAUCCCCCCAAGUGGGCCCUUCUUGAAAUCCACCUCUCGACAGUUGGUCCCAGGUGGUCAAAAUUGAAGCUGGAUUAUUGGAGCUUUUACUCGUUUUAAAACAAAACUUGUUUUAGUUUCUUUUAAUGAUCGGAGACGGACAAAAUCUUUGCUUGGGAAAGCCAAUUAUCCCCUUAAUGUCCCUUUUCUUGUUUUGUAUAGGAAAUGCUUAAAUUUUGUUUACAUGUAUACAUGGGCUUGUCAAAAUCUUUCUCUUUGCUCAAGUACGAUUUAAAUAAUUGCUCUUUUGAGUUUACAUUGUUGUUUAGAUUCUAAUCGGAAUCAAAUGCAUAAAUAAAUUACAAAAUUGAUUUGAAUUUAAAAUUUUCAUUUGAAAUACAGCUUGAUUCAGCUAAAUUUAAUUCAAAAAUCAAUAAUUUAAAUUUGAAAUAAUUCAAACUUUAAUUAAUUCAAAUUUAAAAUAACUUAAAUUCAAAUUGUUUUUCAAAAAAUCAGAAUGAUGCAAUUUUUUAAUUAACUUAAUUUUAAAAAUUAAUAAUUUAGAUUAAAAUGAUUUAAAUUCAAAAUGAUCCAAAUAAAAAACUUCAACCUUAAAUAAUUUGAAUUUUCUUGGACUCAAAACGACUUGACUCCUUCAAUUGCUGCCUCUAAAUAAAUGCUAACUGAGUUUCAAUUGUGGCCUUGAUAGGAGCAUCAUUAUCUACCCAAGUUUCUGUCUAUAUAGUAAAAGAAUAUUGACUUGAAUAUUGAACUCAAUUCCAAUUAUCUAAGAAAGCAAAUAUAUAGCACUGAUUUUAAUUCAAUGAUCAGGAUUUCUAUCUCAGGAAAGAUAAUUUUAUCUACAUUUGCUUUCUCCUUCACUUGCUUUUCUCAUUUCUCAAUCCAAAAGCAUUAUCUACUUCCUUUAUUUUUGUUAAUGAAUUUGGAGAAGUUUAGGGAAGAUGGAAAUUUGUUUCCAAUACUAAAGUUUAAAUUGUUCAUUAAAGUAAUUGCAAUAUAAAGUUAAGAGUUGAAUAAAUGAUGUCAUUACAUGCUCUAAAUCCACGUGUCUUGCACUUAAGCAGUUGAUCCCAUGGCUAAAGCCAAAGGUCGUUCCUCAACUUCUAUGGUUUUUUUUUUUUUAACUAAUAUGCGCCUGGAUCACGCCCUCUAGUCUUUAGGCUAAUUAUAAAAAAGAAAGAAAUAAAGCCAUCUUCCAAUGUUUUUUUCACCUUCAGAACUGCUGUUGUAGCACCCACCUGGCAGCCAUCAAAAGCUUGAUGAAACUCAGGCAUAAUCCUGGCCUUCAAAGUUGGCAGAACCUAGAUAUGAAUUGUAGUAUCAAUAUAUAUUUCCAAAUGAAGAAAGGUUCUGUGGUAAAUGGCAGCUAAAAUGGGGAAGAAAAACAAGAGAAAAGAAUCCAAUUCUGUGGUGAUGUAUGCAACGUAAUUGGAAUAAGAUUUAGUGCUUCAUUCAAAAGAAUCAUCAAUAGCAGAUGCCAUGAUAAUCAAAGACCCUUAAUUCUCAAAGUACUGUUGGUUAUUAUAGAAUAAUAUUAGAGGUGCAAUAAUGAAUCUCAAAAGCAAAUAUGAUUUAUCAAUUGCCACAAACUCUUUAAUUUAUAAAUAUGAGAGUAGUGAUCAAUUGAGAGAAUCAAAUAUAUAACAUAUUGCUAAAUGGCUGUUCCAGUUUGAGGCUUUGAUCAGCAUCCUGGAUUCUGUCCCAGCUGGUUCAAUGUUCUACAUGGAGCAAAGAACAUUUACAUUCACAUCAUAUAUUCCUUCAAGAUCAGAGAAGAUUCUGAUGCUAAAGGAGUUAGGGUUACUGAGUAAAGAUUUGAUCACCAUUUACAAAGUGAUUGAGUCAAUGUUCUCUAAAUGAGUGGACUAUAUCAGUCUCCCGCACUUGAGCAAACAAAAGCGAUUGGGUGAUUGGAUCCCAUUGGAAAACAGAAGAAAUGCAAUGGAAGGUUUAAAUUAACUCAACCAACUCAUCAACAUUGAAUCUUUCAAAGUUUAGCAGGAAAUUAUGUUAUAUUCUUCUAGUUCACUGUCCUUUAAGAUGGCCUAAGAGUUCCUCCAAUUUGCUCAAAUCGCUGAUGCAUCAACAGCUUCUUCAUUAUUCUUUUGACCAAUGUUGAGUUACAAAGUGUAUAAAUUUAUUUUAAUUAUAUAUGCCUGAGUUUAGAUAAAUUGGUGGCCUUCUAAUUUUGGUUUUUUCUGUUCUCUGUCUUUGUGUUGCAAUUAGAUAUUAAUUUGCGAUUGACAAUGUGUUGGAUGCCACAUGUACUGUGUACAUCUAAAUCUAGGACUUUGAUUAAGUUGAUAUUUGGUGUGGAAGUACUAUUAGAUAAGAAAAGAUGUUGCAGGCAUUGAAAUUUGACCUCUAAACCUAUUAUAUAUCACUUUUUAAGAGUGAUUGCAUGAACAACUGAAUUAAGUUUUAGGUUGGAAAGUACUAUAUUUAACAUAGCAAAGAAUCAUUAUCAGUAUUGAAAAAGAUAUCUAAUUAAUGAAAUAACCAUGAAGGAAAUGAGGCUUUAUUCUUUUUCCUGUGAGAAGAUUUGAUGCCAGAUAAAGAAUAGUUUAGUGCUUUGAUUAUGUUCAAGUUGAAAGCUUAAAGGGUUGCUAUCCAGAACAGAACAUCCAUCUCCGUUUAUAGUUUUCUCUAUAAUUUUAUUAUUUAAUGGUUAGUGACAAACAAGUUGCUACUGCAUAUCACUUUUUUUUUCAGCAAAAAUAAAGUAGCAAAUCACUUAUUUGAAGGAACAUUAAAAUUGCCAUAAUCUAAAAUCCUGAAAAUUAAUGAUUAUUAACCAAGUUGAUUUAGUUGUGUGAUCAAAUCAGAUUUUAUUCUCUUUCUUGAUUAGGAUUUGAAAUUGGUUGAACUUGUCCGUGGUAAAUGGCUUUAACAUAAAUGUGGAUCAACUUUUUGGGUCUAAGGCAAAAGUUUUCAUUUAACUUGGGUAGGAAUCUUGUUGGGGUGGAUCAGCUUCUUUCAAAAUAUAAUCUACAAUCUGCAAUCAUGGGAAGAUUGAGGCUAGGCCACAUUUAAGUGCCGUAGGCGGCUGAACCAUUCAAAUUGAUAUUUUUAUUUCCUUCUUUUUCCACCCUAAGAUGACUAACACUGCUUCUAUGAUUAAUAUGGUAUAAUUUGGGAUUGAUAUGAUUCUCUAUUUGGCUUCUGCAGAUGCUUUAUUAUCAAGUUUCUGAUGGUUUUUUACCAUCUUGGAUAUUUUGAUACAAGGUUAUAACGCAUUUGAGAUAUUUAAGUUAUGUUUGAUAUAUAAGGUUAUGAUAAAAUAAAAUAAAAUGAUAUUAUGAAUAAGAUUAGAUUAAAUAAUAUAAUCCUAACUUAUGUUUAAUAUGUGCAAAGAUUAAGAUAAAAUAAUUUAUUUAUUGAUCAAAAUUAUUUUUUCUCAAAGAUUAUACAAUUUAAAUUAUUGAUAUAAUUUUUAAGAGUAUAAUAAGAUAUAUAAAUUUAAUCUCAUAAAUUAAAAAUAAUUUUCUCUACGUUAAAAGGAUUAAAUUAUCUUAUACUAAGAAAAUGAUAAUUUUUUUUUGUAAUCUUAUCUCUUUUAAUUAAAUAUUAAUCAAAUAUAAUAUAAAAUAAUUAUCAUAUUAUCAUAUCAUAUCUAUUGUUCUAUGCAUCAAAUAUGAUCAUAAAUUAUUUAGUAACAAAUGAGACAGGAAAACAACGGCUUCCCUUAAUAUUGACAUCAUGCUGCUUUUUUUUUCCCCCUUUUAGAGAGGAAACCUUGAGUACUUGAGCCGCACUACUUAAGCAUCAGGUGUAUCCCAAAUUCAAUACCUGACCAACGUGUUGGAAUCGAUUCCAUCUGCCAACUAGCCUGGCCCUACGGGGCUCCGUAUUUGCGACUACCUCUAAAUAAAGAUUCAUUGUGGCUGCAAGAGAAACAUAUUGAGAGAUGACCAUUUUACCUGCAGAGGAAGGUUCAACUGUCCGUCUUGGAACUAAUAAUCUAGGUUGUGAACCAAUAAUUCCCUUUCUUCUCCAUUAAAUUCGUAAUCUAUAUAUAUAUAUAUGUGUGUGUGUGUGUGUGUGUGUGUGUGUCACGUAGGAUAUUUUGUAUAGAUGAUUAGCUUAGUUAGCAGAAGUUUUAUCCUUAAUUAACAUAUAACCAAGCAUGUUUGGCGAGAAGGUAAUGAUAUUGACAUCUUCAACUGUCAUUUGAUGGAGAGAAUAUAGGGGGGGGGGGGAUUGAGCUGUACACAUAAAACCAAGGAGGGACCCCUUGUAAUAAUUAAAAAGCAAUAGAUAAUCCCCCGUCCUCAGCAUAUUAUUUGAAGGAUAGGUUCCUCUAUGCUUUGUGUGCUUGCUUUGCAUUUGCAUAUAAUAUUUUGCAACACAUUAAUUUCCGGCCAAUCUCACAUCUUCUAAAUCAAACAGCUCGUCCUUUCAUCAAGAUUUGUUUUAUUUUCUGAAGCAGAAAUAUGCACUUUGCAUCAGAAGAUUGCACUAUGCUUUAUCAUUUAUGUAGUAUAUAUAUACUAGAAGUUGAUUGAGACCUUGGGAAAAACUUAAUGCAAGUUGGAUAAAGGCUUGACAGUGAGAUCAGUAAAUAAAAAUAGUUCUGAAUAUAUGAAUCUAAUAAAGUGCAACUGAUGAAGCAUAUGUUCCUGAACGAAGCAGAAUAUUAGAAUCCAUUCUUUGCCAGUCUUGUGGCCCAGAUUACAAACCAGGCCUAAAAAAAUUUUUUGUUUCUUUUAUUUAUCAACAAGGAGCUGUACAGCAGGUUAUAUCUAAAGCUGUUGUAUUCGGACAUUGCUUUAACAGGCAAAUUUGUUGGAAAAUUGACCUGUGAACGAAUUGAUGCGUAGGUUCGAUAUGUGUUCACAUCAUUGCUUAUUCUUCCUAGCAAUUCCUAAGGUUCGGUUGAAAGUGAUAGAACUUUUACGAUACCACUGACUGAUAGUAACAGGUUCAGCAUUUUUUCGUGUUGUUCCGAAAUCCAAACCCUGUGCAUUGUAUAAACCUCGCACCAGCAUUUUAAAAUGUAAAAGCAGAGAUAAGAAAAUGUGUUGGAGGAAUAGCCCAAAAUGGCACUACACUUUGAUUUCAUUUCAGUCAUUUUCUAUCUCCAUUAAUGGCAGGCUUUCUGGUUCACUUCACUUACAUAAGUGCGACGGGGCAUCUUUGUGUGGUAGCAAGAUUUUAUUAGAUAUAGUCUAUACUCUAUAGAUUGCAUAACAAUUUGUUUAAAAAAUAAAGAGAGAAGAAAAUCUCAUUUCUCUUUCAUUGAUAAUAUUUUAAAAUUAAAGUAUCAUCUUAUAUAAAUAUAUAAAAACCAAAGUUUUUAGUAAAAAUGAAAAAAAUCAUAUGUGAAGGACUUAAAAUGUUGAUAUGCAAACAGUCUUAAAAAUCAUCAAAUGACAUUUAAUAAAUGCAUUUUAUUUUAUUUAAUACAUUUUUAAUUUAAAAUAAUUUAAAAAACUAAAUUGAUUAUAUUUAUAUUUUUAUUAUUAAUCUUAAAUUACUCUCAAUUCAAUUCAUAUUAAAAUUUUAAAAAUUUUUUAAUUUGAUAAAUUAAAUCAAUAUAUAAUUAAUAAAUUAAUAAAUACUACAAUUACAAUUAUAAAAUAUUGACUCUCUUAUGCAAAACUAUAUUUACGCAAAAUUACAAUAUUUACAAUUAAAACUAUAUUUAAUAAAUUAAUAAACACAUUUUGAUGAUUGAUUUAAAGAUGAUUGGGUAUAUACCAGAAAAGUUUUUUAUCAGUAGAGUCACUAUCAUGAAAGUUGAUACCACUUUUGGUUAGUAUUAUAUAUCAUGUAGGUGUAACAAAAAACUACUAGAAAUUGAUAAAAAAUUUUAAUGUUAUUCCUGUAAUGUUGAUGUCACUAAUUCAACUCCAAAGUAAUUAAUAUUUAUAUUUUCUAUAUUUGAUACAUAAAAAAAUUAUUAUUCCAUUAUGAUAAUAAAAAUAUUUUAAAUUAUUAUAUUAUAUUUGUAAUUAUAAAAUUUUGUAUUUUUUAUAUAUACAAAUCGAAUAUUGAGGCAUAUGAUAAUUCUAGAAUGACGAUGUUCGUACAAUUCAAUAUAGAAAUUAAGGAUUUAAUUAAUAGAGAUAUUAACAAUCUUUAUGAAAUAUCUAUUAAGCAUUAAGAUAAAAAUUAUUUUAAUAUUAUUUAAUAUUCAAAUUAAUUGAAUGAUAUAUUUAUACUUAUGAUUUUAAAGAAUAGAGAUUAUAAAAUCUAAGAGAUAUUUAAAGAUUUUAGAGGUAAAAUUUGUGUGUUCGAAACGAGGGCAAUCAAGUAUAAUUUUGAGACAAGUAAUACCAAACUUAUAAUGAAUAAGGUAUAUUAUUUUAAUCAUAAACUUGAAUAUUAAAAAUUAUUGAAAGAGGUAUGUAAGAGUUUAUUAUAAUGAUUAUGUUUUUGAUAAAAUUAUAUAGUUUCAAUUAUAAUUCAACUGUUGUCAAAUUGUAAAUUAUUGUUUUAUAUAUCUCUUCACCUCCAUCUGUAAAAUCUAUUAGCUUAUCAAAUAAAAUGACAUAUUUCAAAGAUAAUAAGAAAUAUUAGAGAAUCAAUUGCUGUAUUUUUAUUUCAACAAUAACUUAUGGAAGAAUUUUCUGUAGAAAAAAGUUUGUAUGCAAGAUUGAUUUUAAGAAUGAAAUUUUUAAUUUUUUGAAAUAACAAAUAUUAUUAUCUUUUGUUUAAAGAAUACUUGAAUUUAAUAAAUUAUAGUUUGAGUUUUCUUUAAAAUUCAUGAUAAUUGCAUAACUAUAUUCAAUAUGUAAUUAAUUUAUUUUAUUAUAUUAAAAUAUAUAAAUUUAAAUAAAAAUAAUUAUAUAAGUUAUGAAUUGUUCAUAAACUUCAUAGGUUAUAUUGUCAUUUAAAAAAAUUAUAUUUAUACAAAAUUUUUUAUAUAUGAAUAUAUUUUUGUACAUCGCACAAAUUUAAAACUAGUUUAAUUUAAUUGUCAAUACUAAUUAAAUAUAGUUAAAAUAUUAUUUUAAACUUAUUUAAUACAUUAUUUUUUAUUAAAUUCAAGACAAUAUAAACUACAAAUUUCUUUUUUAACUAUUGUGUACUAGUUAGUUAAUAUUUUUCAUGCGCUGAAAUAUUUAGUUCAAUGAUUAAUAUACGAUCUUAGCGCAGAGAAUAAACUCCGAAUCUCCUUUUCAUGAUUUAAAAAAAAAAAGCAUUUUCCGAGAGCAAAUAAAUAAAUAAGUUGAAAGCUGAAACUGAGUCGAUUAGAAGGCAGCGGUCGGUGAAGUUGGGCUCUCUCGGUACUCAGGGUUAGCUUAAGCUGGGUAUGAGAGCAGGCUAACUUCAGUUUCUUUGGACGGAUGGAAAUUAGAUAUUUCCCUAACCCCAAAUAAAUUGGACUUGAUUUGCAGUCAGUUUAAAACUUCUUUUACCUGGGCCUUUGAAGUGGCCUUCUCCAACAUUAACCCAGAAUUCCAGAAAAAAAAAAAGCAGCCGAAUUCGAACUGAAGGCCCAAAACAGAACUGAGAACAAACACUACUAAAACUCGAAACAAGGAAGAAAAAUUGGCAAUAAAUUAACAGUAUUUGAAUAGCUGAUCAAAGUCACAAUGUGCGUGGUUGGGUUUUUAAAUAAUUAAUGGGAACGAAAUUCAAUGUGUCGUGGCAUGUAUGUUUUGAGUUGGAAAUUUCAAACAUCAGAACAAAUACUCAAAGAAGAAAACCUUCGGUUCUGUUUUCUACGUUGUUUAGUUUGUAGAGAAUCUUCUUCUUGUUGUUCUUGCAAUUGGGGUUGGGUGGCCUAAAAGCUUGCAAAAAAAAUGGUUCUCACCUUUUUUUCUUUUCAACCACUCUUCCACAUUUUCUAAAGCUUAUUUGCUGCAUGAGGUUAAAAUAAUAAAGCAAAAUCUUAAUCAUGUUUUUUUUUUCGAAAAAGAGUUGAAGGAUUUGGCUUCUUCUUGAAUUAUUAUUUGUACGUUGAAGGAAGAAGCGGGAGAAUAGCUAGCUGUCAAUGAAUGCGGUGGGAAUUGGGAAAGACCAAAAAUCUAGGUAAAGUUUGGUACCUACAUGGGGAGUUUGGCCAAUCCUCAUGACAUUAGAGAAAGAAAAGUAGUGGGGGAGUGAAGGAGUUGUCUUGGAAAAGAUAAAUGUUAUAAUAUUGUUCAUCGUUUAGAAAACUUUCCCCAUGGAAAGGAUAAAGAUCGCAGUAAUAUUUAAAUAUUUUUUUAUUUAGAGGGUUAAUUUAAUUGAUUUAUUAAAAAAUAUUAUUUAAUAGAUCUAAAAUUUUAAAUUGUACAAUUUCUUUUUAUUUUAAAUUGCCAAUCAUAAUUAUAUGGAUUUUUAUAAAGCAAAUGAAAUUCAAAGCUUUAAUUUCCUAUCAAAAGAUAUCAACAUUGGAUGCAACAAAAAUUCAUUCAUCUAAAACAAAAUUUAAUUCAAUCACGUGAUCUUUCAAAUUUAGCUAACCAGCAAAUUUUAUAUUUUUAUAUAAAAAAAUUGUAAUUUGAAGACAAAAAAAUGAAUUUUGAGCAGAGAAAUUUAAAUUCAAUAAAUUUUUUCUUACUUUCAACACUCCAAUUCCUCGUCAAUGCAAGCUUAGGUUAAAACACUCUGCCCAUUUCCUUUUCAGUCUUCUUAUUAUUGGUAGCAACUGUUGCAGACAUUCAUCUAUAUUCGGGACAAGUUGGAGUUGAUUUUCUUAUUACUAUAGCAUGGCAUGCUACUAUUAUUUGAACUGUUUAGUAUGUGAUAUUGUGUAUAUAUAUCAGUAUUAUUAUUAUUACUUUUAUUAUUAUUAUUUUAUUACUCUUAUUGUAUUAUUAUUAUUAUUUUUUCUUUUCUUUUGCUCCACAUGAACAAGGAAAUUUGGAGGGGAUCAAGAUCAAAAUCCCACCAAUGUGAUCAAGGUUUUUAAUGUAAAAUCGAAUCAAUAUGAUUACUGAAAUUCUGGGACCUAAAAUCACGUUGGACAGAAUUCAAUCUCAGGAUUCAAGCUUAUGAUUGAUUCAGUUCGUUUCCUAAAAUUGGUUCUUAAGCUGCCUAUAAAUUGAACUAAGGGUCAGAGGUGCAACAAGCAGAAAAAAUAAGGAAGAAAAUUGCUGGUGGUAAUAGUUUCAAGAAAGUUUUGGCAAUAGGGUUUGAUUUCAAUUUUGAAAGGUUUUGGGAAUUCUAAGUUAGCAUUUAGAUUUUUGGAGUUAUAGGUAGGUUCUAGUGAAUUUUUGGAGCUUUCUGAGAAAAUUUGAGAUUUUUUGGGGAUUUUGGGGAAAAAUCUAAAUUUUUUGAAGAACACAAUAAUUUUUCGAUGAGUUUUUUAGCGAUCGGUUGAAUUUUUUGGUCAGAUUCCAACCAAAUUUUCUAGAAAUCGACUAAAAAUUCAGUUUUCGAUCAAACUUUUGGCUUUGUUUUAUAGAGAAGUUGAGCUUUUAGAAGUUAGAAAUAGAAGGAACUUGGGGAUUCUAAGAAAAAGAUUGAGGAUUGCCUUUUAUACAAUUUCAAAAUGACAACGUUUUGAACAUCCUUAAUAGACGCAUUUACUUGGCGACCCAUGUGUCAACCCACGCACUGACCCAACCCAGAUCACAAGGUUUCUUUUUUUAUUUUAGUUUUAUUUUGAUUUGAUUUGAUUUUAUUUUUAGCUCAUUUUAUUUUUAGUUUUAUUAUUUUUUGUUUUAUUUUUGAAAAAUUUAUUAUUUUGUAAAAAUUGUUUCUUUUUAAAAAUAAAGGAAAAACGAUUGUAUAAAAAAAAUCUUUUCAAUAAAAAAAAAAAAACAAAGAAAAAUCUUUUCAAAUAAGUUUUCAAAAUAAAAAAAAGAUCUUUUUAAGUUUUCAAAAAAAAAACUUAUAAAAAUAAAAAAAAUCCUUUCAUUAAAAAAUAAUCUUUUUUAAAUAAAAAAGUCCCUACAAAAUAAAUUCAUGGAAUUCUAUUAAAUUAUUGGAGAGUUUUUAUGGAUUUAAUUUUUAAAAUAGAAUCCACCAAACUAUUGAAAAAUUCUAAAAAUUAGUUUUCAAAAUAAAAUAAAAAAAAAAUAAUUUUUAUCCUCUCAAUUAUUUAAGGAUUGUUUCAAAAUAAAUCUUAUUAUUGAAAGAUUUUGCUAAUUUUUUUGAAUAAAAAUACAUUAAUAAAUUCGAUGAUGAAAUCUUUUCAGAGUGAGACACUAGUCUCUAUAAAUACUCAUGAGAUGAGAGAAUUUUCUUAAAUUACUACUAAACUAUUGGAACAAUCUUAAGAUACAUUUUCAAUAUUAAAUUAUCUAGUAAAUCACAAAUAUGAUCAAGGCUUAGAUAAUCUGAAAUCUAAAUGAUAUAAUAUUUUGGAUGAAUGCUGUGAGAAUACUAUAAUCUUUUUAAUGUAUAAUUGUAUUUUUGAACCUAAAUUCUAAUUUUAUAUAUCAAAAUUUAUUAUUUAAAGAUAUCUAAAUUAAUUUUGAAACUUUUUUUAGAUAAGACAAAUUAAAUCAGGUGAUCAAUCCUACUUAAACUAAAAAGAUUAAUAAUGAUUUUUUUAAUCUAUGUCUAAUGAUAAAUUUAUAAAUUUAUAUGUUAUUAUAAAAGUAACUUAGUAUUUUUUUCAUUUAUUUUUAUUAAUACCUCAGUCAUUUUUGUGGUGCGGAAAAUGUGUAUGCUUAAAAAGUUGCUGAAAAGCUUCGUUAAAAAAGAAAUUAAGUGGAAAAGUCAGCAUAGUAGAAACUGUUUAAGUACGUAAUAAAAAAAAGGACCAGAAUGGAAGAACGAUGUGUUAUCAGUACCUGAAUUUUAAGCAGAAACGCUGACCUGAUCACAGGCCACACUCUCUCUUCUCUCUUUUUUUUUUUUUUUGGCCUUUAAAUACAUGUCUGUCUGAGCCCGUGACAGUCAUCAUCUCGAAUCUCCCGAGGGCAAAAGCACAGAAAAAGAAAUAGUGAAAAAUUGCAGUGAACGAGGGAGGGAACAGGGAUGAACUAUGAAAGUGGUUCCUAUUUUCAUGAUUUUAUUCAUGAAUUACUACUAAAUUUUGUACUACUAUAUAUCUUUUAUAAAAUAUAUGGUACGAUACAACAAAAAUAUUUAAAUAAAUGUUAAAAAAUGUUAUAUUAUUUGCAAAAACAAGAAUUUAUAUCCACUCCAUCCUUCUGCCAACCUCAAUAUCAAAAAAUAAUAUACGGUAUUAUAUAAUUUAUGGAGCUAAUGUAGGUCGGUAUAUUAGCUCAACUAAUCCUCUGACUCGUCUUUACUUAUUUGCCAAUUCCUUUAUAUAUGUCUCAUCAUCAUACUCAUUAUAAGUUAAUUGUUAUGAUCAUGACUUUUAUGAAUUUUUUUUUUCUUUUUUGUUUUACAAGAAGAUAUGAUAAAACCCCCUUAACAAUGUGAUCUAAUUAAUUAUCUUUAUAAAGAAAAUUAAGUGCUAUAUAUUUUUCAGAUACUUGAGGAAAGUUGUAAUUACACUAUAUGGCUAGAGGUUUUCCCUUAUUUUAUAGAUUAAUGAAAUUAAUCUCUUUUAUUGAAUUUUUUAACUUAAAAUAAAUAAUUUUAAAAUUAUUCACAUGAUAAAUGAAAUAUUUCAGGGUAUAAUUAGAAAAUAUUAUAAUAAAUAAUUUUUUUAUUUUUACUUUUUAACCAAACAAUAAUUGUUAAAUUUUUUUCUUUCUUUUAUUAACUUUAACUAUUCAAAUAAAUGUUACAUGUAUACUUUCCUUUUCUUUAAAAAUCCUUCUUUUUCCUUUACUUUCUUUUACUUUAUUUUACCAAAAGGUAGGAAUCUUUUAAAAUAUUAUUUGGUAUGGGGUAAUCAUUCCAAAAAUCAUGAUGAUUUACAAAUGGUAAUUAAAUCACUGUGUUUGGUAAUCACUUGGUGAUUUUACAUGAUAAUGGUCUUGGAUUAUGAAGAAUGAUCAUAUCACUGUCUUGAAAAAUGAUCUAAUUCUCAUACAAAAAGGUAAAAAAAAUUUUAUCACGAAGGUGAAGUAAUAUGUCAAAUUAACAAUAGUUAAUAUUACCAAUUUAAUAUGUGAAUUAAAAAUUUACUUCCUUUUAAAAUUGUAAGUAUUUUAUAUUAUAAUUUUUUAUAUUUUCAAACUAAUAUUCAUUAUAAUAAGUUCAAAAAUAAUUUAUAUAUUUUUUAGUUUUUAACAUUUUACAUAUAAUUUUUUUCUUCUAUUAUGAAUUUAAUAGAUUAGAUUUAUUUUUUAAUUCAAAUAUUUUUUACAUAAUUUAUAUUAUAAAAUUUAAUUUACAUAUCAACAAAUAUAUUUAUUAAUUUAAUAAUUAAAUUAUAUUUUAUUCUAAAAUAAAAUAACAUAUUACUAAUAUUUUAUAAAUUAUUAUCUUUAAAUAAUAUUAAAAUUAUUAAUUUGUGUAACUAUUAUAAUAUGCAUGCUUAUUUUCGUACUUUCAAAUAAAAUAAUGUUUAAUUUUUAAUAAUACCAAAAAUAAUAAUCUUUAAUUCCUAAGAAUUAAUAAUUGUUAAUUAAAUAAAAUAAUUUCAAAUCACAAGUGAUAAGAUUACCUUGAUAAUAAGAUCAUCUCAAUAAUUAUAUUACCAUAGUAAUCUUACAAAAAAAUACAAAGCUACCUAAAAAUGAAGUUUUUUGACAACUUUGUUAGAUAAAAGUAGCAUAUAUUGGAAUCAAAAUGAUUAGCAUUGGACAUAGAAAUCCUAAAUUUUAAGGUUGUAAAUGAACUGAGCAUAUUAUUAAGGAACAUCUUAAAUUUUAAGUAUGUUCCUUUAAUUAACAAACUUUAAAUUCUAAAUCUGUUUCUUUAAUUACCAAACUUUAAAUUAUUAUUUGUAAUUAUUUGUUAAAUGUAAUAAAAAAAUUAAAUCUAUUCAUAAAUUAUUCUUCAAAAUCUAUUGGUUUACACCUCUACUAAUUUCUAAAUGCUAAGAUAUCUUCCUUAAUCAGUUUUAACAAGGUUGCCAUCAAGUUUAAUCAGGGUGAGCUGUGAAUUGUGAUUAUGAGCACCCUUUUAAGUAAAAAAAUCCCCUUACAGAAGAAAAUCCAAAUUAAUAUACGCAAUUACCUUUGUCUAAACUUACUUUGCUUUGUGAGUGACUGUCCUUAAACUUAAAAAUAUGGAAUUAUUAUAGUGGUUUAAUAGUAUUUUUAGUUUUCUUUUUGUUAGUUAUAGGAUUAAGAUAGAGCUAAAUAUAACAGCCGGAGCUGAUGCUUUGAUUAGGUCAUAAUUAUGAUCUUGUGGUGGACAUGUGAUUUGAUAUCGAGGAGAAAAAGAGGGAGAGAAAAAUGGGGAGCCCCCUGAUGCUAUAGCCUAUAUAUAAUGUUAUUUUCCCUGACUACAUAUAUUGACGAUGAGAUAGAUACAUAGAUACAUAGACGAGCAUAGUGACAUGCGAAAGAAGAAGAGAGAGAGAGAGAAGAGGGGGUGCGGAUUGGGGAUCGUGGAUAUUUCUGAAACCCAAGACUCAGACGUAGGGUCAGGGGAGUCUGCUACUUUUAUUACUUUGUCCUUUUCAUCUCUCCUUCUUAGCCUUUUUAUCUGUUACCAACUUUUCUUUUUCCCACUUCAUCAAUCACCCAUAUCAUUUCUCAUUCACUGUUAUCGCUCACAAUAAACCCACUAUCUCUCUCUUUCUUUGCUUCUGGCCCUUUCUCUUGUUCAGGGUAUCUAGCUUAAGAUUGAUUUUUUUUAGGUGAAAUAGAUAAGAAGAACGAAUGAAGCCGUUUCUUUUGAGGGGAAUGUUGUCUGGCUCGAGGUCAUCAACUAAAUCUAUGGUUUUAUCUCAGUUGAUCGAAAUUAUUUUUGGAUUUUAUUUUUCAGACACAAAAUUAAGAUCAUGAUGAAUCAUUGAUCAUAGGUUAGUGAUGUCGGACCAGGCUUCAUUCCCCCCAAUUAUUGCUUCCAUUUUCAGUAGUGAUUUUUAAUUUUGAUUGUUUAAUUUCCUCAUUUUUUUCCAUGAUCUCCUGGUAAGGUUUGAUUGUUUCUUUUUGUUCUCUCUUCUCUGUUACACCUAAUUUAUAGGUGUUUUUAUAGAUUUGUUUUUGUUCAUAGUGCUUUUUAUUUAUUUUGAAGUGUUCUUCUACAUGGAUUUUUUGGUCAAUAGGGAGAUUGAGGUCGUUGGGACGGGCAGAUUGGUGAAAUGAUGAAAGAUUUUGACUCCUCUUUUCCAUUUUUUUUUAAUGAUUGAAGCGGAAAAGGAUCAUCAUUACUCAUUUUCAUGGUAUACCUUUUCUUCUCUCUAAAUAUUAUGGCUCUAGUGUAGUCAGUUGUGUUGUUUGUCAGUCUUAACUCCUUUGGACUGAUUUUUUUUUUCAUGAUGGCUUUAAGAAUCUUCUCUGUCCGUUUCUGCUCCAUCCUGAUCUAAACCCUGGAUGCCUUCUUCCACCCUCACAACCAUUAAAAACACUUCUUUCCUAACCCUUUUCAUUUUCUCUUUUUUCUUACAUGACCAGGAUUUCAGUUUAGGGUUUCUAGGUGGAUAAAGAGAAGUAGCUCUUUUAGAAGUUAGAACACUAGUUUUUAGCUUGAGAUUCUCUUGUUGGAGUAACUUUUACUAUUGAAGUGAAUGUUCUUUUACCUGUUUUCAACUUUGGCGAUGCUUAAAUCGAGGUGUUCUUUUUUCUUAAACCUUCUAACUCUUUCUCAUAAAAACUUUUAUAUCAGUUCCGCUUCUUUUCUGGCAAGAAGUGGUGGAGCAGUGUAAUCUCCGCCUCUUUUUUUUUUUAUGUCUGCUUUUACGUCUGAUUAACUUCGGUACUUUUAUACUGUUAACGCUUUGGAUCUGUAUUAUCUUGUCUACUCAACUGAUGGUCUUGAUACCUCCUGCUAGGCUGAAGACUUGGACUCCACUUCCUGGAGGUAUUCUUUGAUAUAUUUUGUUUAAUUUAUUAUUCUGACCUCAAUUUCUUUUUCAAAUAUGUAAGUGGUUUCUUAGAAGUUAGAUCCAAAUUUGAGCUUCUGACUUGCAAAUCUCAGAAUUAUCAGCAAGAUUUGAUCCUUGCUUGCUUUUGUGAAGCGUGUGUUUUACACUUCUAUUGCUUAAAGAAAAGUAAAAGGUGAGAGAAUAAUCUUUCAAAACACCAAAGAUUUGUGACUAAUGAUCAGAAGUGUUCGAGAAUCAAACCCACUAGCAAAACUUUGCCUCUUAGCAUUUAUAAAUGAAUGAAGCACUUUUCAUAAACCGAUGAGGUCUAAGUAAUUAGCAUUAUGUAAAGAAACUAGUUUUGAAAUUCUGGGAUUGAUUUGCUACAAAAAAGGAAUGAUGUGAUAGAUUGGACCUGUGAUUUUUGCUUGAAUCAUGUGGUCUUGUCUUUCACUUGAUAAGCUGCUUGCGGUUUAAAACAGAAAUAAUACCCAUGGCUUUUCUCUUUUUAAUUUAUUAUGUCUUCAUAUAUAGUUAUUGUUGACCGGUUCUCGUGUUUCGUCUAAAAUACAUGGCAUUGAUUUUAGAGGUUUCAAAAGAGAAAACAAGCCAGAAAGGAAUGGAAACUAACAGGGAAAAGAAAAGAAAGGUGAGAUGAUAUUUGUUUAAUGUCUUGAUGUUAAUUUAAUGUGUUUUUCUUUAGAUGGUGAUCCUAUGUAGAUGAUCAAGCAGACGGGCAGCAGAGAGUAUCCAGAAAUGAAAUAGAGAAAGAAAAGAGGUGAUUGAAAAGGUGAAUGAAAGAGAAGCGUCAUCAACAGGGUACAACCGUGAUGGGUCUUUCUACCUGUAUGCAAGCUCCUGCUGCUGCUUGGCUUUUGUGUAUGUUAUGCCUUAUUCUGUCAUCAAUUUUUGAAGCUGAGGCGUAUGCAACACUGAUUGCCUUUAAUGGUCUGACUCUCUCUCUCUCUUUCUCUCUCUCAUGUUUUGCUAUUACACAGUUGAGUCAACAUCAGCAUUGACGCCAUGGAUUCUUCUUUAAACUGACUCUGAUUAAUAUAUAUAGACUACCGACCCAUGUAUCUGCUAAAAGUAAACUGAUCUAUGAAUUUAAACCCAAGUUUUUAAUUUUAUUUUAUUUUUUUGCUUUCUAUUCCGCAUUCUAGUUAGGAAUCUAGUACAUAAUUGUUAGCUUAAGUGGUGCAACCCCAAUUCCCCCUGGCAUCUGUUCUAGAUCUCUUUUGCAUUUGCAAAGCAAAACCAAAGAAUCUUUGAAGCCACAAUGACAAAAGGUGUCGCCCGUAAAAGAUGCUCGACCCAUGAAACUGCAAUUUUUGUUCUCAAUUUUUUUUAUCUCUUAAUGGAAUCAAAUUAUUUUAUAUAUCAACAUUAUGCGACAAGAAUAUAGUUGACUAUUGCAAAUACAUAUUUCUUUUGAAAUUACUCGAUCAAGAGCUUUGUUUCCUACUUCCAAGCAUGAACUAAUUUAUUUGUUUGUUUGAGAGACUAUGACCCUUGAACAAAAUUAAGGUAAUUUGUCCUUCAUCAUUUGUUUGUUUCCAAAUGAAGCAUUUGUUCAAGUGGCAAAUCACCUCUUCUGUAUACAUAGAGAUAUCAUGGAUUUUCAUUUGAUCUGAACCUCCGCAAUUGACGUCAUGCAUCGUUUAAUUUGCAAUUCUUACAAGAUUUUGCUGUUCUUCUCUACGAGUUGCUUGAAGGAUUUUUCUGGCAAAUCAUCAAAUAUUUGCUAUUAACAAUGCGAGUUUCUGAGGAUAACUUAUUUCAGUUCCAUUAAUCUUAAUUCGUCUAUAUAUCGUCGUAAAGCUGCUUGAGUAGUGCUAGUCUCCAACAUGCAAUUUCAAUCAUUCGUUAGAGUGGCAGCUUAGUAUUUGGUAGUUAAAAACAGUAGUUGCCAACUUUGAAUGUAAGCCUUAAGUACGCUUUUUAAGGUGAUAUUUAGUACAAAACGUGUUUAAAUGUUUCAAAUUCUAAAAUGGUGUGAUAGAAAUAAUAACAGUGUUUGUAAAUGUAUAAAAUUUCAAAAUAAAAAGUUUAAUGUCGCUUAUACCAAUUAUUUAGAUAGUUGUUUUUUCUCAGAUUACUUUUAAAAAUUUUUCCUCGUUACUACAAUAAAUAAUAUAUAUGUGAUGAUUUUUAUGCAUUGACUGUUGGAUAGAGAAAAUUUUUUUAAAAUAAAAUUUUUCAAUAUUUGUUAAAGAAAGGAGAUGCUAUUUAAUUAUUUGGUAUAGAAGUAGUGUUAAGAACAAUCUAGGGUUUUGACCAAUGACCACUUCUCUUGUACAGCCUAUGUUAACGGUCAACUCCUAUAUCAGUCCAAAGAAAACGCCCUAGAAAACAAGAAAAAAAAAAGGCAUUGAUCUUGUGUUGCAAGCAAGGAACAAUGCAAUUUUCUAUUGUCCCCCGCAAACAUCAAUAAACUUUUGCCUUUUUGUUUUAAGGGAGUUUAUGUCUGGACUCUGGACAAACACCACGAAUUAAUACAAGUGCAGCAUUUUGCAGCAUCUAUGUACUGUAAACCAAUGAGUUUAUCUGACCAAAACCCAAAACAGCCAAGGAGUUCCAAGUGUGGGUGGGGGCAUGACCACAUUCAGAGCUGUUGUCGGGCUGUGGGCCUGGCCUUUUAAGUUCAGAAACAGUAAAAAAUUUUCUGAAUGGGUAAGAUAGUUUUAUAAGGCUCAAUCCCAAACAGAUUCCAAAAGUAGUGCGGUUUGCCAUGUAGUCGGUGCAAUAGCUCUGAUAAGAUUUGAGUCAUAUAAUUUUACAUUAUAUUUAAUGUAUAAGAUAAUUGAUAAAAUAAAAUAAUAAUUAUUUUAUAUUAUAUUUGAUUUGUAUUUAAAAAAAUGAUAAGAUUAUUAUCCUCUUAGUAUAGAAUAAUUUAAGUUUCUUAAAGUGAAAAGAAUUAUUUUUAAUUAAUGAGAUUAAAUUGAUAUGUUUUUUAUAUCUUUAAAAAUUACAUCAAUAAUUUAAAUUAUUUAACUUUAAUGAAAGAUAAUUUUGAUUAAUAAAUAAAUUAUCUUAUCUUAAUCUUUACACACUUCAAACACAAGAUAAGAUGAUAUUAUUUAAUCUAAUUAUAUUUAUAAUAUUAUCUUAUCUUAUAAUAUAUUAUUAUAUCUUAUAUAUCAAACAUGAUCUUAAUUUCUUGUGCAUACAAAAAAUUUUUAAUUAUUCAAAUUUUCUAAUCAAGUAGUGAUUUUUUAAAAAAAUUUAAAUGAGGGGAGGUUUUGUCAUUUUAAGAUCAAUGCAUGUUGUAUGCCUCAAGGAUAAUUGUUUACCAAAAAAAAAAAAAUGGUUGAUAGCAAAAAUCGAAAUUAAAUCUUACAAAUGAAAUAUUCAAUUUUUUGCAACUCAACUAAUUUCAUUGAUUGUUUAUGAAUAUGUUAAUAUGUUUAUAUGUUUAGAAUAAUCUUAUUCUAAUCUAAAUAUUUUUUGUGUUCCAAAAUUUUGUUUAAAUCAUGUAUUGCUUUAAAUACAAUGUAAGUAGCUUUCGACUUGUUUUAAUUCAAAAUUAGAUUUUACUUGUUUUGAUAACAAAGUUUUCUUGAAAGAAAGAUAGAUGGUGAAACAAAAAAUGUCUUAGUACGAGGAAGUGAGAACAAAAAAUGCAACUAUUUUAUUUAUGAUUAGAGUACAAUAUUUUAUAAGCUAAAAUAGUUGAGAAAUAUCAAUUAUCCAUGACCACCAUUACUUCCAACAAAUAGACCAUUAUCUAUUCCUAAGUGGACCAUGAUGUCCUCCUAAAAAUCUCUAACAAUCUUGACUUUACCAAGUCUAAAUGACUUAUAGUCUAACAUAACCAAAUGCAGCUACUUGAGCAUAACUAAAGUAAAAUCCAACACAGCAUGCACUAAACUUUAACACUUCCCCCUAGUGCACUACAAAAUUUUUUUUAUAUAUUGACGCUUGGUUAUAUUAACAGUCAAAUUUUAUCAGUAAAAGAGAUUUUUACUGACGGAUUUUUAAUACAAUCAGAAUAUAUCAUACUUAUACUAAUACUUUAUUUAACUAUCAUAUAAAUAAACUUUUUUUGACUGUAUAUAACUAUCCGUUAGUAUAAAUAUGUUAUAUAUUAACAGUUAUUAACGUAACUAUUAGUAUAGGUUCAAAAAAAAAACUAUUGACUUGCAAAAAAUUGAAUGGGAUUAUUGAAGGUAUUUUUGGCCAAAAACAUUUUUAAUAAUCCAUUCAAAAAAUUUUGAAAAGGGAUUAUUAAAGGCGUUUUUGAUCAAAAAUGUCUUCAAUAAAAACACCUUCAAUAAUCCAUACAUAAAAUUUUUUUUGUGGAUUAUUUACUGAUAGUCAAAUUUCGUCAAUAAAAGAGAUUUUUACUGAUAGAUUUUUAAUACCGUCAAAAUAUAUCAUACUUAUACCAACGCUUUAUUUGACCGUCGGUAUAAAUAAAAUUUUUUUUAUGGUAUAUGACUAUCCAUCAGAAUAAAUACAUUAUAUACUAAUGGUUAUUAAAGUAAUCGUCAGUAUAGGCUCAAAACAAAAAAAAAUAUUGACUUACAAAAAAUUGAAUGAGAUUAUUGAAAGCGUUUUUGUUAAAAAUACCUUUAAUAACCCAUCUAAAAAAUUUUAAAAAGGGAUUAUUAAAGGCAUUUUCUAAUUAUAAAAAAAUUUGUAAGGGAUUAUUGAAGGUUUUUUUAGCUAGAAACACCUUAAAUAUUCUUUUAUAAAAAAAAUGAAUAAGAUUAUUGAAGGCGACAAAAAAUGCCUUGAAUAAUCUAUUAACAAAAACACUAGAGCAGUUCAAUCAGUUAGAACAUACGAUUAUUAACCAUUAGGUCAUAGGUUCGAUCUUUUACUCCAGCAUUUUGAGGGUUUUUCAAGGGAUUAUUAAAAGCGUUUUUAGCCAUAAACAUCUUGAAUAAUCUCUUACAAAAAAUUGAAUAUGAUUAUUCAAGGUGUUUUUGACCAAAAACUCCUUGAAUAAUUCAUUAACAAAAACACUUGAGUAGUUCAGUUGGUUAGAGCAUACGGUUAUUAAUCAUAAAGUCGUAGGUUUGAUCCUCCCUUUAGCAUUUUAAGGGUUUUUCAAAGGAUUAUUAAAGGCGUUUUUGACAAAAAUGCUUUGAAUAAUCCCUUACAAAAAAUUAAAUAACCAAAAAUGUUUUUAAUAAUCUCUCGAAAAACUCUUAAAAUACCAGAGGGAGGAAUUAAACUUACAACUUUAUGGUUAAUAGCCGUAUGCUUUAACUAACUGGAUUACUCCAGUGUUUUUGUUAAUGGAUUAUUCAAGUCAUUUUUAGUCAAAAACCUUUAAAUAAUCUUAUUUAAUUUUUUUUAUAAAGGAUUAUUCAAGGAGUUGUUAGCUAAAAACGCCUUGAAUAAUCCUAUUCAAUUUUUUAAAGGAUUAUUCAAGGCAUUUUUGGCCAAAAAUACCUUGAAUAAUCCCUAAAAAGAAUGGCAUGGAUUAUUUAAUGCAUUUUUAGCUAGAAAUGCCUUGAAUAACCUCAUUUAAUUUUUAUGAGGAGGUUAUUCAAAGCAUUUUUGGUCAAAAACACCUUGAAUAAUCUUUAAAAAAAUAGUAAAGGAUUAUUCAAAGCAUUUUUGGCUAGAAAUGCAUUAAAUAACCUUAUUAAAUUUUUUGUAAUAAAUUAUUAAAGGUAUUUUUGGUGAAAAACACUUUAAAUAAUCUCUCAUAAAAUUUUAUUAAGAGGAUUAUUCAAGCCGAUUUUGACCAAAAAUACCUUGAAUAAUCCCAUUGAAUUUUUUGUAAGAAAUUAUUUAAGAUAUUUUUGACAAAAAAUGCCUUGAAUAAUCCAACAAGAAAUGGCGGGCUUAUGAAUUUAAAUCAUUUUUUUACCUCUACCUUCUAUCGACUCUAUAUGCUUAAUCUCCACUUUCUACCAACUCUUUCCACCUCUCGUCGACUCUACAAACUUAAACCCAUUGGCACCUAUUUUAUUUCAGAGCUGAAUUAAAGUUGAAGCAUCAAAACUCUCGUCAUUUCUCAAAUGUAUUUUUCAUUUUUUACAUCUCAAUUUUAUGUCAUUGAGCAUACUUUUUUUUUUUUGUAUUUUUGGCUAUAUUGGAUGAAUCUAGGCUCAGUCUUUGUCACUUCAAAAAGUAGAGGAGGGCCUGAAAAUGUUAUUAACAACAUUAUUUUUGUUAAUGGAAUAGCUUUAAUAGGAAAAAUAAAUGAAAACUUUAUCUAUUCUACUAUGGAUUGGUGGCCUUUUGAUAAAUAUGACUAUGAAACACGUAGUUGGGGAAGAGCUUCUUUUUUAAUCUAGUAAGCAGCUUAUCCUUAGGCUUUUCGAUAAAAACAUCACAAAAUUUUUUUUUUUUUGAAAUUUAAUGCCUGUUUAGCUUUUAUAGAAAUAUCUUAAAUAACAAUCUGGCUGAUCAAAAAAUGAAUUAUGUGGCUCCGAUAUUGGAAUAAGAGUUGCAAUAGAUCAACAUAUAUCUUAUGUGAAUAAUCUUCAAAAAAUUAUUCAGAAUAUAUAUAGAAGAUUUGAGGUUCAGCUAUUAGUAAUAGCACCAAGAGGAUUCUUUGAUACAAAUUUUGAACACCAUGUUUGUAGACAUUCAAUCAUAGAUAUUAAUGUUUUUUUUUUUUUUUGGAUUUGGUACAAUGAUGUUAGUUCUUGACUUAUUUUAAAUUUGUGGAUUAUAAAACAAUUUGGUUGUUGUUUUAUUUCAAAUGUUAUUAAAUAUUUUUACUAUUUUAUGUAUUUUUACUUUAUAUGAAAUCAUAUCAUAUUAUGAUUACAAAUAAAUUAAUAUUAAUAAUUAAAAAAAGUUUUUAUCGAUGCCUUAAAAUUUAUACUAACGAAAUUUACUAUUAAAAUAUUUUAGAUUAUACUAACAGUCUAUACUGACAAGCAUUAACCGUCAGUAUAGGAAAAAAAAAUUAAAACAUACAAGUCUAUACUGAUGGGUGUUAGCCAUCGAUAAAAUGUAUAACGGUUUAACAUAUAAUGGAUGCUAUACCAACAGAUAUACAUUUACUAACAGUCUUACACCGUAGGUAUAUCUUUGUAAGCUAUUUCGACACUUUAAAAACCUUCAGUAUAGGUCUAUACCAACAAGAGAUAUACUAACAGUUAAAAAUUCAUUGAAAUACACAUUUUAAUCAUUGAUAUAGGGUUUAUGGUUCUAUAAUGAUAGAUUUUAAGGUUUUACCAACACUUUUUUGAGUGUCACUAUAUGUCAAAUUUCUUGUGCAUGCUUUUGAUUUAUUAAACCAAUAGCUUCACAAAAGAGCUCCAACAUCAGCUUUGUGAGUGCUUUGGUGAAGGUAUCAGUAACUUGAUCACUUAUUCCAAUAUUUUUCACUCAAAUUCUUGUCCAAGAACUUCUUUUUGAAUGAAAUGGUGUUGAACCUCUAUGUGCUUUAUUCGAGCAUUAAAUACUGGGUUUGAUGCUCAUUUGAUUGCAUUUUGAUUGUCACAUUUCAAGGUAAUGGGAUAGUCCAUUUUUUUAUAGAUGUCAGUUAUUACCUAAUAUGAUAAUAUAUAAAAUAACUAAAGAUAAACAAAAAAAACUAAUAACAAAUAAAUAAAUAACAUUAUAUAUAUAAAAGGAUAAAAUCGAAACAAUGAAAAUAAAUAAAUAAAUGAAAUGAAAUGGGUAAUUGAGCUUAACCCCAAUUGGUUUCGACCUAAUCAAUUUGGGCCUGGACUAAAUAGUGUGUCUACAGUUACCUCUCAUUGCAUAUUUCUGUGCAAUAGAAAUUAUGCAAAGAUAUAAAUAACUUAUUAUGAUUGAAUCCAGAUUAUUCACCCUUUUUUUAAACUCUCUUUUUAAAUAGACACUCAAACUUUUUGAGUAGCAUGAAAGCUCCUCUAAAUAGAGAUUUGACAUCUUUAAAAAAAAAAUAGAAAGCUCUCCUAAAUAGAGGUUGAACAACUUUAAAUAUAGAAGCUCCUCUAAACAAAAGUUCAAUAACUUUAAAAAAUAUAGAAAGCUUUUCUAAACGGAAGCUCAACAACUUUAAAGAACAUGGAAGGCUCGUCUAAAUAAAAUCUCAAUAACUUCUAAAAUAAAUACCCAAAGGUUUUGACAAUCAUGCUUGAAGGUCUUAUAGAUCGUAUCUAAGAAAACUAGGAGAUUAUGCCUGAAGGUUUUACAAAUUGCUCCUAAUACUAAAAAAUGCUCCUUUGAACAAAAACUCCACCAUUUUAAAAAUUUGAAAAAUCUUUCUUGACCAUGACUGAUUUUCUUGAAAUACCCUUUUUUCAAGGAUUAGUAUCUUACCUCAUAUGUUUUUUCUCAAAUGAGAAUUUAAAAUUUCUUCACUGAAAAUUUUUCAUAUUUAUCUUUUUGAUGUUAGAUCUUACAAUACUCUUGUUUCUUGGAUUCAUGCAUUAGACAUUCCUAAAUGCAAUGUAUGCUAUGCAAUGUUAAUUAAAUUUUUUUUAAUUGUGGCACACAGGUUCUUAAGUCUCUUUCUUUUGGAUUUUGAACACUUCAAGUUUCAAGCAAUAAGACUAAAUUGACUAGAGUGCUUAAUCAUCUUUCUCAUUUAACAUUAUCACCCAUAUUCUCCUUUUAAAGCAAUCUUUUUUUAUUUCAUUUCCAAAUGCAGUGUCCUUAUCAGGCCUUGAACAUUUCAUAUUUGCCUUUAUCACUAUCAACCUUUCGUAGGUAAUAUAGAAAUCUUUCAUGCUAUUAUUCAUUUAUGAAUCAUUAUUUCAAUUUUAAGAAGUAAAAAUGUAAUCACAAAGUUUUUCAUUAUGAGAUAUUUAAGGGAAAAACAUAGAGGUUGAUCGAGAAUAAAUAAUCAUUAAAAAUGAAAUAUCUUUUAUUUUAAAAAAUGAUAAAACAACUUUAGCCAUUGAACAAUAUGUAAAGGAAAAAGUUACAAUGAUGGGUUAUUGGUGUAACAACACUUAAAAUAAACAAUCAAAUAAUCAUGAUAAUACAUCUUGAAGUCUUUUUAAAAAUUCAAACACUUGAUGGACCUAACAACUCAGAGUUCAUAGAAAUAUGCUAGCCUCGAUGUUGGUGAUUUCCCAAAUUCGAUGCUGUAUCUUUUUCAUCUAAGCCACAUUUUCAAGUUUUCAACUUAGAUGUAUCCCUUUUGACUCAAAUUCUCCUUUUGAAUUUUGAUUUGAGUCCUCUUAUUUCAUUUUUUUAUUUUUCAUUUUUUUCAUUUUUUUAAGUGUAGUAUUUCUUCAUAGCUUUAAAAUUUAUAGGAUUAGGCAAAUCAUCUCCAUCCAUCUUUGUUAAGACUAAUGUUCCAUCCCAAAAAGCUCUUUUCACAAUAUAUGACCAUUUCCAAUUUAGAGUCUACUUUCUUCUAUUAUAAUGUUGGCUUAGGAGAAUUUUUUUUAAAAACCAAAUCCUUUUCUUAAAAAUAAUGAGGUUGGACCUUUUUAUCAUGAACUCUUAUUAUUCUUCUCUGACAUAGUUAACCAUGACACAAUGCUAUCAAUCUUUUCUUUUUAAUAAAAUUCAAUUGCUUAUAGUACUUUUGAAUUCAUUCAGCCUCUUCUAAUCUAACUUUCUUUAAAACUCUUAAGGAUGGGAUUUCUACUUCUAUCGAUAACAUAGCUUUCAUCCCAUAAACUAAGAAAAAUGAGAUUGCCCCAAUAGAGGUAUGCACUAAUGUUUGAUAUGCAUGCAGAGCAAAUGAUAACUUUUCAUGUUAGUCUUUAUAGGUCUUAAUCAUCUUCUCAAGAAUUCUUUUUAUAUUCUUGUUUGCUGCUUUAAUUGCUUUAUUUUUUUUUAGGCACAAUGGUGCUGAAUUAUGAUGUUUGAUCUUGUAUUAAGUGCAUAUUUUUUUCAUCAUCUUACUAUUGAGGUUAUUGAUGUUAUUUGAAAUGAUUUUUUCUGGAAGCUUAUAUCUAUAAAUGAUCUUUUUCUUUAUGAACUUAUAUAUGACAGAUCAUGUCAUAAUUCCAAAUGAAGCUAUUUUCACCUAUUUUAUGAAAUAAUCUAUCAACAUAAAAAUGAACCUUUGCCAUUUAAGGCCUUAGGGGUAAUGGAACCUAUGACGUCUAUACCCUACAUAAAAAAUGGCUAGGGUGGUACUAACACAUGUAAAGCAGUAGACAAAGUAUGAAUCUUAUCAGCAUAAAUUUGGCACUUAUGAUAUUUUUUAGCAUAGUCAAUACAAUCACUCUCUAUUUUUAACCAAUAGUACCUCACUCUCAUGAUCUAUCUUGUCAUCAUAUAUCAAUUUACUUGUGCCUUACAUACUCUAUUAUGUACUUUCUCAAUAAUUUUUUUUCUUUGAUCAUAUUUACGCAUCUCUAUAGCACUUUAUCAUGGCUCUUUUUAUAUAAAACAUCACCAUCCAAUAAGAAGCCUAUAGCUAAUUUCUUGAUAACUUUUUUAUCAUUUUUAUUUACUUAGUUGGAGUAUUGUUGAUUCUUAACAUAUUAUAAGAUAUCAUAAUACCAUGGCUUCUCAUUUUUUUCUUCUUUUUCAUUAAAAUAAUGAGCUGACAUAUCCUUAACAUCUAAUUUGAUAGGUUGAAUAUCAGUAUUAUCAUUAAUUCGGAUCAUUAUUGCUAGAGUAGUCAAGGCAUAAGCAAUCAUAUUCUUUUCUUAAGAUAAAUAAUCAAACUGGAUAUUUUUAAACUACUUGAUCAACUCUAAGAUAUACGUAUGAUAUGGGAUGAGUUUUGAAUCUCUCAUUUUUCAUUCUUCUUUUAACUGAUAUAUGACUAGAGCUAAGUUCUCAAACAUUUUCAAUACUCUAAUCUUUCUAUCUAUAGCAGCUUGUAAAUCUGUAACACUGCUUUAUAUUUAGCAAUGUUAUUUAUGCAAUUAAAAUUCAACCUUACCAUUAUAGGAUAAUAUUGUUCUUUAGAAGAGAUCAAAAUUACCCCAAUCUAAUACCCUAAAGCAUUUGUAACUCUAUCAAAGUAUAUUCUCCAAAACUUCUCAUCAUGCCUUUUCUUCUUAAGUUGGGAAACAAUUAUCAAAUCUUCAUUAGGCAAGUUUAACCUCAUUGGCUUAUAAUUUUUGAUAGCACGAUCUGUGAGAAACUCAGCUAUAAUACUUUUUUUAAUUACCUUCUGGCUCACAUAUAUGAUAUCAUGAGAGUAUCAUUUCCCAUCUAACGAUCUUUUUAGACAAUGAAAGUUUCUUAAAAAUAUAUUUGAUUGGAUCCAAUUUAGCUAUAAGUCAAGUGGUAUGAUAAUGUAUAUACUAUAUGAGUUUUUUGGCUAUCCAAGCUAAUGCAUAACACAUCUUCUCUAAAGAGAAAUACUUAGACUCAUAUUCUGUGAACUUUUUACUUAGAUAGUAGAUAGCUCUCUCUUUUCUGCUAGAUUUAUCUUGUUACCUUAGCAUACAUCCCAUCAACUUCUUACACAUUGUUAGAUAUAAGAUUAAAGGUUUUUUUGAAAUAGAUAGCACUAAUAUUGAAGGAUUAGACAAGUACUGCUUAACUUUAUUAAAAGUUUCUCAAAAUUUCUUAUUCCAUUCACCAAGAUUAUUUUUACAAAAAAAAUUAAAAAUGGGAUCACAUUUGUAGUUAAGUUAAGAAAUAAACCAAAAAAUAUUGUUCAAUCUACCCAAAAAAACCUUGUAUUUUUUUUGUGUGCUUGGAGGUGAUAAAUUUUGAAUAGCUAGUAUUUUAUCUGGAUUAAGUUCAAUCUUUCUUUCACUAAUCACGAAGCUUAGCAACUUCUCUAACUUAGCCUCGAAUGUACAUUUGGCCUAUUUCAACUUAAAUUGAAAAUUUUUUCAACCUUUCAAACAACUUUCUGAGGUCGGUGACAUGAUCUUCUUUUUUAUGAGAUUUUGUAAUCAUAUCAUUUAUGUAAACUCCAAUCUCUUUGUGCAUCAUGUCAUGAAAGAGUAUCACUAUGACUCUUUGAUAAGUUGUUCUAAUAUUCUUCAAACCAAAUGGCAUAACUUUAUAGUAAAAUGUACCCCACAUGAUUACAAAAGUGAUCUUUUUUAUGUUAUCUUGAGCCAUCUUUAUCUUAUUAUACCCCGAGAACCCAUCCAUGAAGAAAAACAUAGAAUGCCUGGCUGUACUAUCAUCAAUGUGUUAAUACGAGGUAAAAGAAAGUUAUCCUUCGAGUUGGCCUUAUUCAAAUCAUGACAAUCCAUACAUAUUCGCACAUUCUCAUCUUUUUUAAAAAUUGGUACAAUGUUGGCUAC